GUUUUCGUGCAAUCAAUGUACUAUCAACUCAUAGUAACAACUCAUAUCUCUAGGUUUGAAGAAUAUAAGAUAUUAUCGUCUCAUGAUCACUCGUGAUAAAAUCCAUGAAGUGAUUCCAAUGAGCGCGGGUUGAAUCCAAUACUCAGAACUUAUGAGCACUCAUGAGUGUUGUAGCCCUUUGUCCAACACCUUAGACCUCUACAAGCCAACCCAUGACAGUCUUAAUUCAUAUCUACUUCCAACAUAUGACCGACUGUGGAUGGUUUGAAUAACUUAGUCAUUCCGGAAGAAUAACCUAGUUUAUUCGGGAAGUCAAAACAUGCAAAGUGAAACACAAUAAUAAUUGAAUCCAAUAUGGUAUCAAAACUUUGAACAUAAAUAAAACACCUUUUAUUUAUCACCAUAUGAUUACACAUUAUUCAUUGUAUACUGUUUCAGCUAUCAACUUUAUUCUUGAAUUUAAAACAAUAGUUGUCCCAUGCUCCAAGCAUGUACACUAUGUUUUCUUAAACACUAGUCAUGCCACACACCAAGUAUGCAUACUAUGUUUGUCUAUGAUCUUUACUUUGUGAACUAGAUCAAUUGAACAUAACUUCAAUGAUUCUCUUUUCACACUCCCAAAUCCUUACUGCAAAUGCAAGAAUUCCAAAUUCAUGCCAUUUACUGAAAUCUGUUAGAUUCUAAACUUAUAUGCAUUGAUCCUCUUGUAAUGAUUAUGCACAAAGUCAGAAAGACUUGACAACAAUCAUUACAGAGUAUUCCAAAGGAGAUCAGCUCCUUGGAAACAUCCUUCUUGCAUUAAGUUUCCUAAUCUUAAACAGAUUGAAAAUUCUAACUUUGAAACAUUUCCAGAUUCCAUUUUGACUAUCACUUCUGAACAAGAGUUGCCUCCUUACAGAUUAUGUCAAUAUGGUCCUUCCAGAAUUAUCACUAUACUUCCAACUGUCCUUGAGCAACCAAUCUUUGGUAAACCUUAGAUUGUCCUCGACAAUUGUUUAAUCCUUUUAGUCAUAUCCAGUUCUAAACCUUUUCCCUUCUUAAUGCCCCAGGCAUUUGGAAAAUUUUAGAACGGAUGAAUAUAGCACAUGUAAUCGAUCCUAUAUCCGAAGCAUAUGGGACACGAUUCAUGAUGUCUUACAUAAAGACUAAACCAGUCUUUUGCUAUAAUAUUUCCAUUUCAAUUUGCCAAGUUCUCAUAAUUCAGAUUAUGAAAAGGGAUGCCGUAAUCAUAAUCGAAUUUUAGAACGCAAAUAAUGGACCCAUAUACAGAAUUUCCUUAUGUUGAGCCAUUCCAACAUGAAAUUCAUAUAUAUCCUUGACUAAAUGAUUAAAACCUCACGAUCUAAGCUUAUAGAUUUGAGAUGAAGCAUAAUUUCCUCUCCCUUAAUUAUAGCAAAACAACUUUUUCCCAAUUGAAACUUUUGUUUUCUAUAAUUAACAUUGCUAACUUGCAAUACUUAUCAUAAUUAUCAUGCUCCCACUAACAUGAUGAUUAUUAGCAUAACACUUAUGCUCCCACUAGCUUUGACAUGUACUCAGAAAUCAGCUGGACUUCUAGAAAUCAAUACUUCAUUGACUUUCUUACCAAAGUUCAGAUUUCUGAUGCUAGAUUGUUUUGAUAAAACUUUAUCAAAAUCAUACACCUUCCCUUAGAUAGCACACUUGUGUAUCUAAACAAUUAUGAAGAGGGAUGCCGUAAUCAUAAUGUUUAGACCUUUUUGCCACUUCUCACAAGUCCAAAUUAGUGUGCCGGUUAACCACACGCGCUCCACUAACGACUUUGAGAAUGCAAAUAUCACAAUUGCUAUCUAGCUAAAAUCUACUUAGUGAAAGUGUUUCCUCACCAUCAUUUUCAUGAAUCGGAGAGAAACCUUAUGACACUUAGAUUUAAUGGUGUAUGUGUUCUUAUCCAUGUGAAUUGUCAAAACCAUAGUCACAAGACAAGGAUAAUGACAAAUCCAAACUCAUAUGGACUGAACUCAAUCUUAAUUUCUUGCCACCUGGCAGCUCAAGGGCCUACCAUUGCUUCCAAGUUGUUGUGCAACAAAUUGAGAACUCUAAGAACUCAUAUGCAAAGCCAACUUUAACUGGAAUGGGCACAGAAUAUGUCAACACGAUAGGUUAUAAACCUCAAGUCGUGUGCUAGUGAAGAACUUCAGGUUUUAUUCUUGAUUAGUUCUUGAGACUUUCAAGACCUUUAAGACUCCCACUGUCCUCUUGACAUAUAAGACUCCCUUGUCAAACAUCCAAGAGAUAGUGCGGAUUCUAAUCAAGAAAAACACUUUACCCAAUUGGCCUAAGUUGGUCUUUGUUUUAUCCAAAACAUCACAACUUACCAAUUUCAAAUGUACAAGAGUAGAAAACUUUUACUCUUACAUUUGACAAGUGUUUUAAACCUUCUUUAAGACAUGUCACUCAAAUGACAAUCUUGGAGUAUGACUCUAAGACUUGUAUUGGAACGAAGUAUGACUCAUCUUCUUGAUUUAACCAUUUCAACAAUUCAAGUUCCUCUUCUUAGUCAUAAGAAUGCACUAAGAUUUCCUUAGAGAACUAAUUUUGAUAUGGUUUCUUAAUCAUUAAGAUGAUCACAAAACUGAUACUAAAGUACUCUCCCAUCUUUUCAGAUUUGAGAAACUUUUAUCCUUCUGCCUAAUUUGAUUCUUCUUAUUCGCCCUGCCAUACAUUGGAACCUUUUCCAAUGUCUCAGAGUUACACUUAAGCUUGUAAGUAUAAUCAUAUUUACUGAGCUUUAGUAAACUAUGACGAAUAGUCUUAUCAAUCUUUUGUGGUGGACUUAAUCAGUGCACAAGAAUGUGUACUCGAUCCCUUAGUCCUUUACUUGACUCACACAUCCAUGUGGCCGAGUAAUUAGUCUUAAUUUUCCAAAACUUGAAAGUUCUCAUUCAUCAUGCUAUACAACUUGCAUGAUUCCAAGUUCCGGUCCAAUUGAAACUUGGGUGAUGAGAAUCUUUCCUUAUUUGGUAAAUCUAGACAUUACCACAAAUGAAAGAAUCAAUUUCAUAUUUCCACUCUUGCUCUUAAUGGAAUCAUAUAAGCAACAAUUUUUCCUCAAAAGCCAUUGUAAGGAUAUUUUAAAAUAAAUAAAAUCAAAAAAAUUUUCUUUUAUUUUAAAACUUUGCGGAAAAACUUAUCCUUACAAUCCAUAUGAAAACUUGUUGUUAUCUAUUCCUAAGCAAUAUCUCAUAACUCCUAAGAAGUUGCUCAAGAAUCCGAUCUUCAAACUAUGCGAUAGAAAUCCAUCUACGCCAUCAGAUUCAGCAUAUUCUUUCUUUAAGUUUCUUCACUUUUCUUUGAUUCUUAAAACAUCACCAUGUGACCCAGUCACAUCAUGUAUCAGGAAUCUCAGAAUAGAAACUUAACAGAGUUAGAUAGUGGACUUUACCUGAAGUAGAGUCAAACUUAUUGACUUUAACAUCCUUAGGUAAAUUUGGCAGCUUCGCAACCAAUGCCCCUUCCUUUGGCAAUAUAAACAUAUGGACCCUUUGAUAAUGGUACACGAGACUAUCACAGACUUAGCUUUUCUCUUUACCAUUUGGUCAACCGAGUUGACUAUGGCCGAUCCCUUUCCAUUGGGAAGAGAAUGCUUUACUGGAUAUCCAAUGUCAUCAUUGUCAAUGUCCAUAAAGUUUUAGGAAGUUGAUCUUAGCAAAUAGAUAAGAUCAUUAAGGGUCUUGUCAUAGUCUGUUUCAUAGGUGUCCCAAAGGAACUCACUAUGUGACUUAGAAAGUGAUUGAACCACCAACUUUCUCAAGACUUUGACACCCAACUCUCCCGGCUUGUCAAUAUGUGACUACAUCUCCAAGAUGUGAUCACACCUAGACCUUGCCUUGCCAAUAGGGCUUGAGUGACCUUAAACUUUUCAAGAACUUGUGGGUUAGGGAGAAUAAUUGGAGGAGGAGAAAGAAGUAUGAUAUCCAUGGGACAUCAUCUUCAUUAGGAAACCUUGUUUCAAGAGAUUUGGGAAGAUCAUAGGUGUCUAAACCAGACAUCUUUUGGGAGAUAUUCAAGAUAGUUGAUUUAAAGUCCUUAAUAUGACACCCAAUAUGAAAUAUUAAGGCUAGGACCCAACAAACUAUUUUAUAACUUAGAAGAGGUAUGCCGUAAUCCAAGCUAUAAAAUAUUUGAAGGUAGGUGAAUGACGAUUCACCAAUUUCCACCAAGAUAAACGAAAUGUAUUAUUAGGUUUUAAUUGGUUUUGAAACUCCUAGAUCUUUGAGAUUCAUUGAACUGUUCAAAGGCAUGUUUCAAUCUCGAGUGUGCCCUUCAGGUUUUGUGACUGGGAUGCCGAGGAUCACAAAACAAGGUGUGAAGUAACCAUGCAAAUCACUUGGUACCCUUAAUAAAUUACCCCUCAAUCGAUGUGCCGGUUAACCACACACGCUCCAUCGAUACUAUGAUAAAUAUUAAGUCACCCUUUACCUACCUUGUUAAGUCCAAGUUAGUGUGCCGGUUAACCACACACGCUCCACUAACGACUUAGACAAAGUGUAAAGUGUAAUUUCAUGGAUUAGCACCUUAUUCACAUUUUUCCUAAGUAACUAAGAUUGGGUAUUAUUAAGAGUUUAGUUACUUAGUAUUAUCAUUAAUACUUUUAAUGAAGGGAGAAUUCUAGUCCUGUCAAACCCGUUCGGCUAACGACCCUCCACCAGUCAAGCAAGCGGUGGGUGAGAGUGGACACCCAUUAAGUUGCCAUUUUAUAGGCAACAACCUUAUACCCACCUUAUAGACCGGCUUCGUGAAUGAGGCGUACUAGCGGUAAGACUGACUUUACUCUUAUACAUAUAUAUAUUAUUAACUUAUAAUAUUAUAAAGUAUAAGGGUUGAAUUUUAACUUUUAAAAUUCUAAGGGCUAACUUGGAAUUAAAGUAUUCAUAAGUGAAAACUUUACAAAUUCCAAAACUUGAGGGCAAGUUUUGAAACUAUUCAAAACUAAUUAAUUCCAUAACUUAUGUGUUUAAAGUAGUUUUAAUCCAAAAACUCUUCAAGUUCCAUAACUUGAGGACAAGUUAUGGAAGACUUUAAACUAAUAAAAGAAUUAACUUUUCUUUAUUUUAUAACUUAUGGAAUUAAUUAAGGUUACACUUUUUUUUUUUUUAUUUUAUUUUAUUAAAUGAAGAGACUCUUGGUCCUCCAUAACUUGAGGACAAGUUAUGGAGUCAUAAAACCAUUUAAUUAGAACUAGACUCUUCAUUUUUGUAACCUUUGCCAAUUUUUAUGAGUUUUAUGAUUCUUAAAUGUGACUUUUCAUAUAACUUGAGGACAAGUUACAAAAACACAUUUUAGAAUCAAUUCUUAGAUUAAUUUGGAUUAAAACCAACUAUCACAUAAUUUUAUUCAUUAAUCUAAAUUCACUCAUAAAACAAGGUAACACAAAAAACUUUUGGUGAUCCAUAACUUAUUCUUAAGUUAUGGAAUCCUUUAAAACAUUAACACCAAAUUUUGUAACUCCAAAAAAACUUUGAAUCAAUUUUUUUUUUAAAACCUUUUCAUAUCCAUAACUUAUGGAGGUUUCAAAAAAUAAAACUCUUUAGAUCAAACUUUUAAAACUAAUAAAAUAAUCAUAUUAUUUUAUCUUUUAUUAAAUUUGACCUAAUUCAACUCAUAAAGCAAAUUAUUCAAAUUUUACAAAUAAUUAGUUUUUCACAAGAACAAGUAAUUAUCUUAAAAUUUGACAAACUUCAUGUUUUUUUUUUUUUUUUUUUUCAACUUUGAAAAUAAAAUAUUUGCAUCAAUAUAACAGAAAACAACCCGUGGCUCUGAUACCACUGUUGGGUUUUGAGCAUUCUAACACUUCCUAAGUGUACAUGCAACCCUAAAUACCUUGGAUCUAUGUUUUCUCUAUUAUACAUGCAAAUAAGAACUUCCAAGGUAUUAUCCUAAUCUAGCAUACAAAACAAUAACUAUAGCAAGAUAGAAUACAUACCUCUUUGGUGUAGAAAGUCUUCAUGAAGCUUGAGUGCCUAGUGCCCCAAGUGUGACACCUCAAAUGGAAUCACAAUCAUCAAAACACUUAGAAUGACUUGAGAGAAUUCUACACUCAUCAAAAUCGGCUAGCCCUUUCUUCACUAUCUCUAGUGGCCGAUUUUUCCUCAAUAAUAAGAUGCUUAUAUAGUUACACAAUUAGGGUAAACUCUUAAUUGUCAUGGCUUUCCAUUUCCUUGGAUCCAUGGGUACAAAUACACCAUGGAGCAUCCAUGGACCAUCCUAUGGGUUUUAGCCCAACUUGAUUAUCCAUGGAGCAUUAGCCCACUAUACAAGUAUGGAUGAUUUACACAAUCAACCCAUAUAUUUAAUUAGUCUUCUUUUGAUCACUUAAUUAAUCCUAGAUUAAUUCUUGAUCAAUACUAAUUAAAUAAUCUUAUUAUUCUUAUUAUUAAUAUACUAGAACUUAUAAUAUAUUAAUAACCAUAAGUGUCUUAUUUCUCUCAUUAUAGUCUAUCCAAGUGCAUGAUGGUAUGCAACCCAAAUGGACCAUGCCGGGUCGGGUCAAGUCUUACCAAUUAUAGUUAUGGACUUAGACAUUAAUCCAACACCUCUUUCUAAACCUGGAAGUAAACCGGACAUCCCUGUAUGAAACCAUAGAAACCGGGACCCCAUACCGUGCCACAACCCUCCUGAUGUAUAUGUGGGCCAACUUCUCCGUAGAGAUACUCUCCUGAAUUGGAAUAAAAUGUGUGCUCUUGGUCAAUCUAUCAACGAUGACCCAAAUCGAAUCCACUCUGCGUGCUGUCCGAGGCAACUUUAUAAUGAAAUCCAUGGUGAUCUCCUCCCAUUUCUAAACGGGAAUGUCUAACAGCUGCAUCUUUCCGUAAGGCCACUGAUGCUCGACCUUGUCUUUCCUGCAAGUCAAGCCCCUCUCAACAUGCCAAGCUACAUCCCGCUUCAUAUAGGGCCACCGAUAAUCAGGACGGAGGUCUCUAUAUAUCUUCGUCACCCCAGGAUGAAUUAAGAAUGUUGAUAUGUGCGAAUCCUCAAUCAGAACCUGGCGCACACUACCCCAAUAAGAAACCCACACCCUCAGAUGGAGAGUCAAUAAUCCCCAACUAUCAUAAUCAAAGGAAGCCACCUUACCCACUAUGCACACAAUUUUUUAGUGCUCUUCCUUCAUAUCAUCAACCUGAGCCUCUUGAAACUGCUCCAAGAGUGGACUAAUCACUGUCUUCCUCAUAUAGAUAUCCCUGAUCAGAGUCGUGUCCACUUUGCGGCUGAGAGUAUCGGCCACCAUAUUAGCCUUCCCUAGAUGGUAAAUGAUAUCAUAAUCAUAAUACUUCACCACAUCCUACCAUUGGCGCUGCCUCAUGUUCAGAUUCGGCCGAUUUAUCAAAUACCUCAGGCUAUUGUGAUCCAUGUAAAUAGUACAGUGGACCCCAUAGAGGUAUUGUCGCCAAAUCUUGAGGGCACCAUAACCCCCAACUCUAAAUCAUGUGUAGGAUAGUUCGCCUCAUGAGGCUUCAACUGCCUCGAAGUGCAAGCAAUAACGCGGCCCCUCUGCAUAAGAACUGCACCAAAACAAGUGAUCGAUGCAUCACAAUAAACCACAAAGUCUUCAACACCCUCCGGUAGGGUUAAAAUCGGCGACUCUCAUAAUCUCUAUCUCAGGGACUCAAAAGAUGCCUAUUGCUCAGACCCCCAGCAAAAAGUGACAGUCUUAUUCAUCAACCGAGUUAGAGGAACUACUAUCUUGGAGAAAUCUUGAAUGAACCCCCGAUAGUAACCUGCCAACCCAAGGAAACUCUGAAUCUCAGAUGGAGACUUGGAACCUCCCAUCCGAUCACCACAUCAACCUUGGCUAGAUCGACCAUGAUACCAUUCUAGUUGACAAGGUGUCCCAGAAAUUCCACCUUGCGCAACAAAACUCACACUUGGAGAAAUUCGCAUAAAGUCUCUCUCUCUCUCUCUCUCUCUCUCUCUCUCUCUCUCUCUCUUUCUUUCUCCCUCCUUAGAGUCUCCAAUACCUCCCUCAAGUGCUCCUCGUGUAGCUCCUGGGUCUUGGAAUAUACCAGGAUGUCAAAAAUAAAUACCAUCAUAGACCGAACCAUCAUCAACCUGCAUAUGCGGUUUAUAAGCUCCAUGAACGUGGAUGGAGCAUUGGUGAACCUAAAGGGCAUCACCACGAACUCGUAAUGCCCAUAACGAGUCCGGAAGGCCGUCUUCUACACAUCAUCCUCUCUGACCCUCAUCUGAUGAUAACCCCAACGUAUAUCAAUCUUAGAAAACCAAGAUGCACCCUAAAGCUGGUCAAACAAAUCAUCAAUCCUCGGGAGUGGAUAACUUUUAUUCACUGUUAUCUUAUUCAGCUCCCGGUAGUUAAUACAUUUACGAUGCGACCAAUCCUUCUUCUUCACAAAGAAGAUUCGUGCUCCCCAUGGCGAACUGCUCGGUCGAAUGAACCCAUUGUCUAACAGCUCCUGAAAAUGUGUAGACAACUCCUGUAUCUCUGGAGGAGCUAACCGAUAUGGUGCUUUCGCAAUCGAAGCAGCACCCAGAACCAGGUCGCUCCUAAACUCCACCUGCCUCUCCGGAGGCACUCUAGGCAAGUCCUCUGCGAACAUAUCCUGGUAUUAUCGGAAAAUGGCACAUCAUCCACAGUCACCUUGCCCUUCUCCCGGGUAUCCACAACAUCGGCAACAUAUACGAACAACCCUGCUGAGGAUAGCGACUGGCCCUAGUUGCUAAACAUAGAAUCGACCCAUAAUGGGCACUCUCUUCCUGAACCACUAACUCUUCCCCACUUGGGGUUUGGAUGCAUAUCAACUGAUGGUGACAUUUAAUCAGAGCCCCAUUGGGGCUCAACCAGUCCAUCUCUACAAUAACCUUGCUCCCAUGAAAAGGAAUACGAACCCAAUAAAUCAGAUAUUACUUGCUGAACAUCUCAAGAGCACAACCUUGAUGAAACCUUGAUACCCGGACAGAUCGAUCAUCUGUAAUCUCAGCCUCUUGGGGACAAGCUAGCUCCCCCGGAGCUCCAACAAAACUUUUGCUAAUCACAAGUGAUACAAAAGAUCGGGUAGCCUCGGAAUCAAACAAUAUUAAUGCAGAGAUACUGUUCAUGGGGAAAGAUCCUAAAAUAAAACACACAAAUAUAAGCUGAAAAAUAAAAAUAAAUAAAGAGACAAGGAGAAGAUACAUACCCGUCACCACAUCAGGUGCUGUGCGAGCCUCCUUGGCUGUCAAAUGAAACGCUUUGAUUCUCACAACAGGCGCAUCCGUCUUGUCUUGGCGGCCAUCAGUAAUCUGUGGAGUCGCUGGAGCGGGUGCUGCAAUUGGUCUUCCCACUGCUAAGCUUGGCCAGUUGGCCUUUUUAUGGCCCCUAUGAUUAUAGUGGAAGAAAAUCAGGUUAGAUGUAUGGAUGGUGGGGUUAGCAGAAGUGCAAUCCCUACUAAUAUGACCCGUCCUGCCGCAUUUGAAGUAGCCAGAACCACCCAUGUUGCACGUCCCAUCGUACGUCCUGCCGCACUUGCCACAUCGACUCCUGCCCUGCUGGCCUCUCGAUCUCAAAUCAAAAACCUUGGGCCUCUUUCCUGAACCCUAUGAACCCUGAACCUGCUCUAGUUUCCUCUUCCUCUCCAUCUCCAACUCAAUCUCUCUCUCUCUCUCUCUCUCUUUAUCUCUUUCUUUCUUUCUUUCUUUCUUUCUUUCUUUCUUUCUUUCUUUCUUUCUCUCUCUCUCUCUCUCUCUCUCUCUCUCUCCUAGGCCCUCGUUAUCAUAUCAUCCAAUGUCUUGUAAUUGGAUUGGCUCACAAACUGCCGGAUAUCACUCCUCAGCAUAUCAUGGUAUCUCGACUUCUUCAUCUCCUCAUCCACCACAUACUGCAGAACUAACAAUGUCCUUUCAUGGAACAUCGUGGUGAUUUCAACCACCGUAUCAGUAGUCUGGCGGAGAUCCUGAAAUCUCGUCACAAAAUCCUCCGAAAUCAUGGACUCAAUAGCCUCACCUCCCAAGGCAUGUCUUACCUUCUCCCACCAGUCUCGUGUUUUGUCCUUUGGAAGAUGGGAAGCAAGUCUGAUCUUUUCCCGAUCGGGACAACCCCUAGUGCGGAAUGCGUUAGCGUUAUCCGCUAACCAACAUAUGCUCGUGAUUGGGUCCUUUUUCCCAAAGAACUUUCGGGAUCCACAUGCCAGAAACUCACGGAAAGUCAAAGUGUGAGCUCUCAUCAUUGCUACCAUAUUAGAACGAAAUGAGGCAAAAUGCUCCUCUAAAAGCUCCAUGAUACCCUCCUUGAUCAUACCAAAAAUCAAAAAUGUCUUCUUGUGUAUGCUGCAGGUAAUCUCAGACGAAAUGAACUCCCACAUCUUAUCAUCCAACUUUCUAGCUUUAGAACCUGAACUUGAACCCUCACCAGCACUAGAACCACUACCUGGUGUCCCUCGAAGGGUCACCAUACUGAACAUAGACCAUUCAAACCAUCGAGGAGUCUCAUACUCUACAAGCUUCCUGGUAUCAUCGCAACUCUCCUUAACUCGAGUAUCGAUGCUCUGCUUCCAGUAGUACAUGUCCAUACUACCUUCUAUAUGUAUCCGCACAUUCCUCAAGGAUCAUUGUGAAUCCUCCAAGUCACUCCUUAUCCAUACAUACAAUCCUCAACAUGACAAGGCUCCCAUCACUAAUUCUCUUCCUAGGUUUCCUUAGGUCAACCACUACACUAUUCCUCGCCAUCAACUGUAGAAGGAACUCCCCCUAACAUCCUCUAACUAGCUCACGAAUACAAUUAUAUAUCAUCGACAAUAGAUAAUUAUUUGAAUGAAAGGUCUCACACUACAAUGGUUAGAGUCAAACAAGAGCUGCGUAAUAUAGUUAAAACCUAACCUUCUAAAAUUAUGUAGUCUCAACAAUAUAUAACUUAGUAUAUUCGCUUAUUAGUUAGCUGAAGUUAAUGGAAACUCCUAGAAGCACAAAACAAGCAGCAUUCGAGCAUCGCGUAAUCGGAACAAGCAUAACCUAAACAUGUCAUCCUACCACUGACUGAUUAAUACUAGUAUGCAAGUCUACAAGCUCACACAUUUGGCCUAUAACGACAUCUCUCCUAACAUUCUAUCAUGUAAAUCCUAAGCAUAUUCUUAGCCCUAACUAGCAUGUGAUUCACAAAUUCAAAAUCAAAACAUAUAAUAAAACAUGUAUGGGUAUUUUUGGAAACUUAUUUGAGCUCGGUCGAUUGCAUGCACCACACCCUUUCCUUCUAUUAGAAAAACCAUUUAUAAAACAUUUCUUUUGAAAAGUCUACUAAUCCCCCAGUUUAAGUUCAGACACACCCAAUAGUAUGCCUGAAUCCCUCAAACUAAGGCUCUGAUACCAACUUGUAACAUCCCAAAAGUAAAGACCAAAAAAAUUCAAUUUUAUAUUAAUAAAACCAUUAUCCAAACGAAUAUCAUAAAACCAUAGUGAAAUCAAAGUAUGUCAAAAAAACAUCCAAAUACAUCAGAGUCAUGUAAAAUGCAGAACAAUGUGGUGUGUGCAAUGCAGUCAUCCUGAGUUCUUCCCUUUUGAAACAGGAGUACCUCAAACAUAAACUGAAAACUGUAAGCACAAAGCUUAGUGAGUUCCCUAAAAUACCACACACUAUACAUAACAAACACAUAAUGGGCCCUGCCAGCAUCGGACCCCGCUCGGAACAGAUCUGGCGGUAAAUAAUAGGCCCCGCCCGGUAUACAAGCAAACACAUAAACACAUGCAAGAAUCACAAAGAUAAAAAACAUACAAGAUAGUCAUCAUACCCCACCUAGCAUGCGUUCCUGCUCGGUAAACAUAUUAGAAAACAUACAUGUAAAGUCACAAUGAAAACUAGCAUCGUAAUCAUAAUAAACCAUGGGCUAUCAUUGGUGCCUUCGACUCGUCAAGCACAGUGUGGAAACUCACCUCAAGCUGCUAAAUCUCUCAGAUAAAAUAUCGGUUUACUGAUCCGGGAAAUCCCCGCACCAACACCAUCAAAUAAUAUCCAAUUAAUAAUUGCACCUCAACUCAUAUUCAAGAAUCUAAAUUACUUUUCCAACAUCCAAGGUAAAAGACCAUUUUACACUUUCCUUACUUGGCCCAAAAACAAUGCCCAACCCAUUUGCUCAAGAAGCCCAAAUUCCUAAAUGGCAUACCAAACCCCAAUAUGACCCAACUUCCUAAACGGGCCCAAAACCCAUCAUGGCCUAAAUCCAAGAAAGCCCACAGCCUAGCAAUGGCCCAAAUUCAGAAGUCCAAUGGCCCAACAAGGCUCAAACCCUAAAAGUCCAAAAUAUGGUCCGAACCCGUCAAAGUCAACAAAAAUUCAAACUGCUGGGUAUGCUUGGCGUACUCAGACUUACGCUUACAAUACUUCAUCCGGGUUUAGUGCGCACAACGUACGAGCAAGGUACGCCUCGCUUACCCCGCAGACGACCAACCAAACCCAGUAAACACUUCAUCGGUUAAGCAAUUAAGUCAAACUAUCAGAUCUUAUCCAAAAUGGUGACUUAACCCGUAAAGUUGGGAACGUUACUUCCAUGCAUGACUUAAUGCGACCCAAAACUCAAAAAUAACCAUAUUAAGGAUCCUAACACAUGCAUGGACCAAUAUAACUCUUAAAGGUUGCAUUUUUAUGGACAAUGGACAUGUAAGGUGCUAUGAUCUAACAUCUAUGGCUUCUGGAGUAGACCAUAAUCUUAAAUAUGGCUUAAAGGACCCAAAAUGCACAAAUAACACCCUAAGUUGGAUCUAGCAUAAGGUAUAGAGAGAUGGCAAUUAGGUUAUCAAUCUUAAGGUAUAGAGAGAUGGAGGCUAUUCCUAAGGAGGUCCAAGGGUGUUAUAACUUGUUUAAAUAGGAAAUAAACCCCAAAAAUUAGGGUUUUCCUAUGCAUUGUGUACGCCCUAUGUACUUCCACGUAUGUUCAGCGUAUGUGGGUACAUCCGUGAUCCAACCAACGAGCCAGUACGCUGAACGUACUCAUAGAGUACUCCCUGUGUAGUGAGCUUGAGACUAAAAUGAGAGAAAUUUACAUUAAGGGUUAAGAAAGCAACAUACCAAUAAUCUCAAAUGUUACAGACAUGAUAUGGUAUAACAAAAGUACCAUUAUACUGUUGCCGAGUAAUGUAGGAAAUAUAUUAGUUUGUAAAGUUUUUUUUAUGAAAUAAUGAGUUGUGACCAAGUACAAUCGUACUAUUGUGUGUAUUAAUGUCUUUACCCAAAAGACUAUCAUACUAUUAUGCUCACCCAAAGUACUAUAAUACUAUUGUGCCUAGAUGUUUAAGGAAGAAAAGAUGACAAUCACUCCUGAUAAAAGAUCCUUUUAGGAGAUAUCUCUCAAGAUCAUUAUUUUAGAAUUAGAAAGUGAGGAUAACAGGAAUAGGUAAGUGAGUUAUUUGUUUGCUAAAAAAUAUAUAAAAAAAGAUUAUUAUAUUGUGGGUAGAAAACCCUAUGUACUCACCAAGUUUCCCAACCUGACCCACUCGGUUUCUUUGUAUCAAAGGAAGGAAUAUACAGAUAAUGAUAUUCACACACGAUGAAAAAUUCUAGGAAAUAAAAGCCAUAGUAUAAAAGAUAUUUUAAGGCUUGUGAUGUUUAUGUUUAUGCUUAUGAUUCUUGUAUCAGUUUGAUAUCCCAAGUUUUUAAUAAACAAUGAAAAACAUUUCUUUUGAAAUACUUUUUAUGGGACAAAUUCCAUAACUAUAAAUAAACUUUGUUUUAAAAUAAGCAAAAAUAAAAAGGUCUUUUAUGAAUGUGAAAAUGGGGAUGUCACAAGCAUACAUGGAAAAUUUGAUCAUAACUUGAACUCAUUCAAGUUUGAAGUAGUAGAAGACAAUAAUGUUGCGAGGAAGCGACUUUAAUUACUUGAUACAGGGAUUAUCAACUUUAAAGGAGUAAAAUAAUUUGAAGAUUCAAGGUGUUUAUGAUUUGAUUUUAGGAAAAUUUAGGAAGAUUGGUGAAUUAUUUUCUGGUGUUAAGAGGGAUGUUGAUACUUUGUUAUCAACUGUGAAGAAUCAAUUUUCCAUCUUGGUUUACCUUAAUUUAAUCUAUUUUCUUAAAGGUGGAAUAUAAAAUGCAUAUCGAUGAUCUUACUUUUUAAAAUAGUUGUUUUUAUAAAAUUAAUAACAAAUCAGAUCAGAAAAUUAUUUGUAUUUUAUAUACACAUCAUUAAGAAUGAUAACAUAAAAUCAUGUAUUUAAUACAUACAACAACAUCAUUGUGGAACAAUGAGGAAUAGAGGUUAAUUAUCAUAUAUUAGAAUGAAAAAAACGAGUCAAAGAAAUCAAAGGUUUACAAUAUCUUUCACAAUCAGAUGAAACCCUAUGUCAAGUUGGAGUUGCUGCACUAGGGCUCACCAACAUAUCUACUCCGUUAGGCAUUCUCGCAUAUGAAUUAAUCACACAAAACCUUGUAGGAACCCUCCCAGAUAUCUAUCAUUUGAAUAAUAUUCCAAUGGAAUCUUCAUUCUCUAAUAUGCUUUUGUACAAGGUGACUACUUCGUCUAUGAAGAAUCCAUCGUAGAAUAAUAUAUGCCUCCGACGAUCUACUACGCUUCGAUGAUUAACAAGUAGAUUUUAAUGUCAUUAUUGAUUAGGAGUCGAACUCUAAUGGUGAUGACAUAGAGAGAUUAACAAAAACUUGUAGAUCUAUCAUUGGUGGUAGGAUUUGUGGUUAUAUAGAUUUUUUAUUUACCGAUGAUGACUUCAAGAUGUGAGAUUGGGUGAUUGAAAUCCUAGAUAUGAAGUUUAGAGAGAGAGAGAGCGAGAGAGAAAAAGAGAGAUAGAUAGAGAGAGAGUAAUUGAAAGUGUGAGAAUGACCAUAAAGAAGAAAGAGACAUAAAAUUAUUUAUUAAAAACUAUUUUGACUAGUUGCAUCAUAGUUUUUUUUUACCAUAGAUACCCUUGUCAUUUUUUCUAAAAAGUCAAGGCUAUCAUUAAAAUUAUUGAUCUAAUGGUACACCUCUAGUUCUGCAGUUUUCACGAAACUAUGAAUUCACAAAUGAUAAUAUAUAUNNNNNNNNNNNNNNNNNNNNNNNNNNNNNNNNNNNNNNNNNNNNNNNNNNNNNNNNNNAUAUAUACCGGUGAAUCUAGGCUUAUCGGUGUGGAGAUACAUGCCUCCAUUAGAUCAUUAAAAUUAUUGAUCUAAUGGUACACCACUAGUAAUGCAUGCUUGCAAUGGUUUCUUUGGUUGGCCCAUGAAGCAAGGAACAAACGCAAUAUUGGAAACCAGAGUCUUGGAGUGUCACGAACCGCAUGCAAAUUUGGAAUCUAGUUUUUAUUUUUCCUUAAUGCCAGUAGCACUGCAUAUAUGAGAAGUUUUAAAUGAAACACAAAUCCAAAUUAUAAUUUACCCCUUCAAAUGUAACAUACUAAAAAUGAUGAAUUUUUUUUUGUUUUUAAAACCAAAUCAAAAUCCAUAAAUCAUAAAAAUCAUAGUUCAAAAAGUCAUAAUAAAAAAUCAGAGUAUACCAAAAUCAGAUGUCAAAUAAAUAUCGAAGAUGAUGUGCAAAAUCAUGCCUUCCCGUUGCCCCCAUACCUAGAUGUACCUGAAAUCAUAAACCCAAAUUGUAAGGCAAAGAUUAGUGAGCAUCCCCCAAAAUUCUCCACACAACAUAAUACAUNNNNNNNNNNNNNNNNNNNNNNNNNNNNNNNNNNNNNNNNNNNNNNNNNNNNAUAUAUAUAUAUCAACUAGGGAUGACAACGGGGCGGGUAUGGGACGGGUUUUGGUAAUCCCACCCCCGUCCUCGAAUAUGAAAAUCAAUCCCAUCACCGACUGAUUCCCAGCGGGUACCCAUUUACCAAACAUUAUCGGGUAUGUGGGUAUCCCAACGGGGUAACGUGGAUCCCUGUUUAACAUCCAAAUUAAGAAUAAUUUUGAUGCAAUGAGAAUACAAAACCAUUAGACUUAGUGAUGCAAGCAUAAAUUCAUAUCCAAAAUAAUUUUGAUAAUUUACAAAACCAUUAAGAGCAGACAUAUUUGUUCUGAUACAUAAGUGGUUACUAGUGGCAAAAAAACAAUAAAGACACUAGCAUUCAUAAACNUUUAUCAUAAAACCAACAAUAACAACAUAUAACAUACCAAGUUUUAUCUUGUCAUAAAACCAAUAAUAGCAACAUACUUUAUAAAUUAACAUAUAGAACUUCCGAAUAUAACUUCAUAACUAUAUAUCUAUAUAUAUAUAUAUAUAUAUAUAUAUAUAUAUAUAUAUAUAAUCAUAUGAACGGUUUUAGGUAAUGGGUUUCGGUUUCGGUUUUGGUUUCGGGUAAUCAGGACGGGUAUUUUGUUUACCAUCCCCGUAAUCAAACCCACAAAAAUUUUCUAAAAGCAUACCAAACCCAAUCCUGACCCCGGUUAACCGACCCCAAACCCAACGAUAAUAUGUCGGUUUUCGGUUUUCACCAUCGGGUUCGGUCUCUUUUGCCAUCCCUAAUAUCAACAUGCAUGUUGGGUCUAUAGUGAUCAGACUGCAUUGCCCCUGAGCCCACAUCAUAAGUCUGGAUUACCCUUCCGACCCUCAACUUAUGCCUAGAUUGCUCCCAAGCCCACAAAAUAUGUUUGGAUUGCCAUCCUAGACCUCUGCUUAAGUCUGGAUUGCUCCCGAGUUUGUUGGCGUCCAUAUAAAGCAUUAUCGCCUUAACCCAACUUCACUAUAUUAACAUAUGUAACAAAUAUACAUAUAACCAACAAGUACAGUUAAUCAUAUAGAUCUGCCAAUCUAACACAUCACUAGAACAUAGCAAUGUCGUAUAUACCAAAAUACAUAACACAACCUAGUGGGCCAACAUUGAUAUUUGCACUGAUCACUGCUCCAAAUACCGGCUCUACAAAUCACCUAUACAACAAACAAGGACUAAGCGUCACUCUAAUACUCAAAUUACUACAUUUGACCAAAACUCAAACUUGGUCAAUGGUCAAAGGAAAUGGUCAACAAUGAAUGGUCAACAUAUCCACUCUAAAGUCACAUAGCCAGUCGUCACGUCGUGAUCAUCUGUUGGUCACGUCGUGACCUACUAAGAUUAAACAAUAACGAAUGAUCAUUCUCACGUCGUGACACCCAAGUUCUCACGUCGUGAGAAAUGCUCUGGAAAGCUUGAUUAGUAAAGCUCUUAAUCAUUUUAGACAAGCAACCGAAACUUACAGCAUGUCUUAUCUACUUUAGAACAUCAUAAAGAUCGUGGAUUUUUAGGUGUGCAUGGAAAAUACAUGCCUCAAACACAAUCUAGGUCUAAAAUGGUGCAAAAUAGAUCCAAUAUUUAAUGCAAAAGCUAAAAUUUCUAUAAAACAUCAGAUCCAUGACCUUAAUCCAUAAAAGGACACUGGGGAUCCAUAAAGUUGGCAACUUUAUGGAACCCCGACACUCUCACAAGCCAUAACAUGAAGAAAAACCAUGGAAAACCUAGAUCUUGGGAUUUAGAAUCAUAAAGCAAUGAACUUUGAAUAGUCACAAUAGUCCAGAAGGUGAGAAAGGAUGAUGGUGAGGCUUGCAAGCUGAGAUGGAGCACCAAAUGCUCUUCCUCUUUUUCUUCCUUGCUAGAAACCACAAAUAACCUCAAAAUCAACUAUGGAGGGUUACGGUUUCAAGGGGGUGUUAGGAGGUGAUGGAGGGUGAGGGUGGGCUAACCCUAGCCCUCACUUCCUUUAAAUACAUGAUAAAUCCCCAAAAUUAGGGUUUUCCUAGCAAUCGGGUCCAACGCCAUGACCCAUGGUCACAUCAUGAGUUCUAAAGUCAUGCACAUUAUUAAGAGGCCAUGUCACAUCAUACCAUGCAAGUUCUCACGAUGUGUGCUAUGUUUGAACCCAAAAAUUUAGUUUAAUAACUUAACAAAAUUAUUACCUGAACUGGGUGUUACAAUUUUCCAUCACUUGGACUAAUUUUCGUCCUUGAAAUCCCUAGCUUUAAGUAGAUCAAGAUAAUGCUCACUCAUCUCUAACUCGGGUUCCCAUGUCCACUUGGAACCUUCCUAUGCUGCCACUUGACCUUGACCAAAGGUACCACCUUAAUGCACAAUUUCUUCGUCUUUCUAUCUAGAAUAGCCACUGGUCUCUCCAUGUAACUCAUGCAUUCAUCCACUUGAAUGUCAUCAAAAGGAACCACCAUUGAAUCAUGAAUCACACAUUUUUGAAGAUAAGAAACAUAAAAGGUGAUGUGAAUCUGGCUAUGCUCCUCAGGUAGGUCUAAACGGUAGGCCACCUUGCCUACCAUGGCCACUACUCGGAAUGGUCCGAUAAACUGGGGACCCAACUUAUGCAUUUUCCUAAAGCGUAUAAAACCCUUCCAGGGUGAUACCUUUAGUAAUACCAUAUCUCCAACUUGGAACUCCAACUUGGAUCAUCGCCUGUUAGCAUAAGUCUCAUGUUGGUUGUGGGCCGUUUGUAAUCUCUAAUUGAUACGCUAGAUGAUUUCUGUAGUCUGGAGGACCACCUCAGUCCUCUACAUAACCCUAUGACCGACCUCUACCGAGCAACCUGGUGUACGACACUUCCUCCCGUAGAGAAGCUCGUCUGGUGGUGCACUAAUAUUGGAGUGAUAAUUCUUGUUGUAAGAAACGUCUGCUAGGGGAAGGUAGGAAACCUAACUCCCAGUAAAAUCAAUGACACAGUCCCUCAGCAUAUCCUCGAGUGUCUGAAUGGUCCUCUCACUCUAACCGUCAGUCUAAGGGUGAUAAGUCGUGCUGAAAUGCAGUCUAGUACCCAAUUUAUCGUGAAAUCUCUACCAAAACCUAGAGGUGAACUGUUCAGCAUGGUCAGGCAUGAUAGAAACCCGAACACCAUGGUGAGAAGCAAUCUCGCAUACAUACACAUCGGCCAAAGAGCUCUCCCGAAUAGUGAUAAAACGGGCACUCUUGGUCAGACGAUCAACAAUGACCGAAAUAGGGUUAAAUCCCUUGGCUGUCCUCGGUAACUUGUGAUGAAAUCCAUAGGGAUAUGUUCCUAUUUCCGCAUGGUAAUCUCUAAGGGAUCCAACUUUCCAUGCGGCCUCUGGUACUCUUCCUGGACCAUCCGACAUGUCAAGCAUCUCUACAUGUACCAUGCAAUCUCCCGCUUCAUACAUGGCCACGAAUAACAAAGUCUUAAGUCCUAAUACGUCUUUUUGGCUCCAACGUGAAUCGAGAACAUGGAGUUAUGAGCCUCCUCCAAUAAUAUCUGUUGAACCUUACCCAAAAAUGGGACCGAAACCCGACCAAAUAGGGUCAAAAGUAUGCGACUAUCGAUAGAAAAUCUAUCAAUCUCACCUCUAAUCCCCUUAUUCUUCCAAUUUUCCCUAUUGACUCCCUUAGCCUGAGCCUCCCUGAUUAAAUCCAGUGCGAAGUCGAUGGCUUUCCUCAAAUAGUGCUCCCUAUCAAUAGCACUAUCCGCCUUGAGACUCAAGGCGUUGGCCACCACAUUGGCCUUUCUCGGAUGAUAAAGAAUCUCGCAGUCUUAAUCCUUGACCAUGUCAAGCCAUCUGCGUUGUCUCAUGUUCAGAUUCGGAUGAACCAUAAGAUAUCUCAAACUCGCGUGAUCUGUGUAGAUGAUACAUCGUACCCCAUAAAGAUAAUGUCUCCAAAUCUUGAGGGAGAAUACCACUACCCCCAACUCUAAAGCAUACGUAGGAUACCCAGUCUCAUGAGGCUUCCACUGCCUAAGUGCAUAUGCUAUGACUCUGACCCACUGCAUGAGUGCUGACCCUAACAUCCUAAGGGAAAGGGUCAAUAAUAAGGCCUCACAUAACUUCCUCCUCAGAGUCUAAAAUACAGCCUGCUGCUUUGGCCCCCAACAAAAAUCUACACUCCAAUUUUUCGGGAGAGUAAGAGGAACAACAAUCUUGAAGAAAUUCUGAAUGAAUCUUUGAUAAUAACCAACUAACCCUAGAAAACUCUGAAUCUAAGAUUGGGACAUCGAAACCUCCCACUGCAACACUACCUUAAUCUUGGACGGAUCGACCUUAAUCGUAUUUGGAUUGACAAGGUGUCCCAGAAACAUGACCUCUCAUAACCAUAACUCACACUUGGAGAACUUGGUAUAAAGCUUCUCCUGUCUCAGUACUCCAAGUGGCUCUCCGAGAUUCUCCUUGUGCUUCUCCCUGCUCUUGGAGUAGAUCAGGAACGCUGCAGGUCCUCAUACCUGGUUCAUUAGAUCCAUGAAUGCUUCAGGUGCAUUGUGUGACAACCCGAAAUUUGCAUUUUGAACAAACCAUAUCAAGCCAAUAGAAGUUAGAACAGUUGCAGUGAAAUUCCAAACUUUGGGUAUAAGUUUGAGUUUUUCAGGAUUUACACUUAAGGAGAUAUUAGGAGAGUGGAUGCACUAGGGUUUUGUGCAACACUGUUAUUCCAAUACUCUAUGAUAUUAGAGUUCAUUCAGGGAAUAAAAAUAUUUUCUGCCAAAAAUCUCAGGACUAUAUAUAGAAAUCUGAACCAAAUAAUUCAUUAGUUACAUUUCUAAUUAGAGAAAAGCCAAAUUCUCUCUCACGGAUCUUCGGGUUUUUAUCCCAAAUUGUGAGUACUUCGAUCUAGUUAUAUUAUAUAGCUUAGAUUGUGUUUAGAAACAUCAAAACCAUGCCAAAACCCCAAGAUUUGGGAGUUUACCGCCCAAGAACACUUGGGGAGUAAACUCCAUUUUAAGGGCCAAAAGUGUCCCAAUGUCCCUCAAACCCUUGGAACUCAACCUAGGGAUUACCAUUGCAUGUUUAGGACACAAAAUCAAUUUGAAUCAAAGAGUGAAUGUGAGUUCACGGCCAUGGAGGUUCUUGGGCCGUGAACUCCAUGUUUAAUUGCCAAAAUGCCAUAAAAACCCUCCUUAAGCCAAGAGACUAAUUUGGGCAUGUACCUAAAUGAGUUUAGGACUAGCUAACACACUUAGAACACCAAGAGUAAGGUUUUCAUGGCCCAAAAGGCUCUAGGUCCGUGAACUCCAUAAAAUGGUGCCAAAUGGUGCCAUAAACUCUUCUAAAGCCUAGUACAAAAGCCUAGUUUAGUUCCUAGUUAUUUUAGGGAAUUGAAAACACCAUAAACAUCCUCCCAAGGGAGAUUACAACCGUAAUCUCCAAGGGAUAUGGUCCCAGGGUCGUAAACUCCUAAAAGGUGUUAUAUUAUGCCCUAAACUCUUCCACAGACGAAGCCAUUAAGUAGAAAUGCUUAUUAGGUCCUUAUAGAGCAUCAAACAUCAAAUGGACACAUAAGUAUGAGUUCACGGCCACUCAUGAGUUUACGACCGUAAAAUCAUUAAGUAGUAUCUUUAGGUCGUGAACUCCCUUAUGGAGUUUUCCUUGAGCCCUACACACAAUAGCUUCCCCUACAAACACUUAGAUGCAAUCCUAGAGGCUAAUAACACUUGAUAAAGGUGCUUAGCAUGUCUUAGGGUGUAUUGACAUGUUUAUCAGUUGUUUAUAGACUAAUUUGUUACAUAUAUGUGAAAUUAUAUGUUAACUACGAUCAUAGAGUGUGUUCAAGACUUCACUUGACACCUAGCAGUCCUAGCUCUUCAGUUCAUCCGUGUCACCCACAACAGGUGAGUUCAUACCCCUUAACCAAUGAUUUAAAUGUUUUUAAACGUUUUAUGGGGGGAUACAAGUAGAAUCAUGCUAUUUAUUAUAUCAAUCACAUGUGAUUAAUAAGCGGCNUAAGCAAAAUUUAAAUGAUUUGCUACUCAUUAGCCGUUUUACCAAACAGUUUCCUUCAAAUGUUUUUCAUAAAUGUUUUAUAUGUUUAAAAGUCCUUAUUAAACUGUUCAUUUUACUCAAUUACAAUUGUGUUUCAAACAAAUGUUUCUUUAUACUUCAACCCGUUUUAUAGAUUCACAUCAAGUUGAUCUUUUCUUAAAUGAUAUUAUGUUCAAAGGUUUUACAAAACUUAUUUUAUGCUUUUAUAUUAUAAAUUGCAUGCCUCUAUAUGUAUAGUUAUAUAAGUAAUGUUUAAAAGACUUAGGAAGGCUAUCCACCUUGUUUCCUAUUCCUCGAUUUGGAUGUGGUCUGAUAGGAUAUCGGGUACCCGUCCGAAGGUCGUUUAAAUAUUAGUUAUAUAUCAUGUGUACAUAUAUAGUGAUAAAGGUUCUUCCAGUUUAUUCAAUACCCUUGGGGAGCAAGGGUAUACGCCCAUGUUCAUACGUACCAGUUAUAUUACUAGUGAGCUACCAUAGGAAUAGUUUAGGAAGAUACUAGAACUAUUAUUAGAACACGAUAUCAUACAAUGAGUCAGUUCAAUCAUGAGUCAAUACUUGCUUGAUAGAGAGAACGUACGUUACAGCUACCACACACAGAACAUUACAGUACAUUACUAUACUAUUACAUGUAUAUGUUUUACAUGAUUACGCUUACAUGAGUACGUUUACAUAUAUUCGUUUACAUGAGUGCGGUUACAUAUACUUUGAUAGGACAGACAUCAUUAGGUGCUAUAGCAUAGAACAAGUUCAGGAUCUAACAAUACCAAUGAAUCGCAACGCAUUGUGAUAGUUAUAUCGGGUAUACAUGAUCAUAGUAAUGUGGAUGUUCACGGCAUGCAUAUAUGCAUGGGCGUGUAAAGGUCUCAAAAUCCCUUUGACAGGGGAGCGUUUAGCCUGGGAUCUAUCCAUCACAUUAUGCCUUAUCCCUCAAAUAAGGCAAUAAGAGUAUAGAGGCAGUCACUUAUUACAAAUACUGCAGUACUUACGAGAUUACCCUAGACUUAAGGUAAUUAGUACGGUCGUAGUUCGACACUACACCAUAGUACUAUUUCAUUUUCCCAUUACAUUCACUUCGUGAACAUUCACACGACGCACGGUAAUGUAGAAACUAUAUUUUUGGUUAAUGAUAGUCAGACUUGGGAAAAUACACACUCUCACAAAAGACACACACAUAGACACUAGAUGUCUUGGUAGAAGGCUACAUAUAGAUCAGUUAAGUCUUGGUAGAAGACUCCCUGUUAUAAUAGUAGGAAUCAUAGGUAUUUCUAGGGUUUCUCAAACAUUUACAGUUGUUCUACAAACAUUUCAAAACAAUGUCAAAUCUUUAAUUACAAGUUUUACAAAUUUAGACACUAAAAUACUUAUGAUCUCACCAGGUUCAAAGCUGAUACUCGCUUUCAAAAUUACUUGUAUCCUCAGGUCAACCAUAGACAGGUACCAAUGCAAGGUUUAGAGAAGAUGGUGCUCGUUCAAGACUCUUCUUUCAUUUUGAUUUAUACUGUAGUGUCUAUUAUAAUUUGACAGAACACACUUGUAUUAAAAUUAUAUUAUUAAUGCAAUGGAUGAUGUUGUUGCUUGUUUACUACUUUUCAUUGUUGUGAUACUGUACAUGACGUCCUCCUCCCCAGAACGUUUCUGCCGUUCAAUGGUUUUGGGGUGUGACAGAUUUGUAUCAGAGCAUUGUUUAUAGUGAAUUAAAUAAAUCAACCCAUAAAAGAUAUACUAACUAUAAAUACAUAAGGGAUUAAAAAUACUCUGACCAAGAGUUUAUACUUUAAAUAAUAAAAUAUUUAAUUAAGUAUAUGUGUUGCAUUCAUACUAAAAUCAGUGUCACUACGACAAUACAAAAGAAUUACAAUUUUUGGGCAACACAGGUGGACUUAGAGACAUAUGGUCAAAACUGGGAAGAUAUAGUCUGAUCACCUAUAUUAUCCGAGGGUUGACUAGAAUGUGCCUAAGUGUAGUUGUGUGGUUGCAACAAGUCUAAAAUCUUACCAACCCUACCACAAUGAGAACAAUAGAACAUAACAUUAAACUUAAAAUACUAUAGGAGUAUUUGGUGUUACUAUAAGUACGUUAUACUUGAGAACUAAAACGGGAUCUUCAUUACUAAGUUGAUAGUUGCUAAGUGGAUACACUAAGGAUAUAUGUAAUUAGGAUGUUAUAGACUUAGAAUCUGUGAAAUUUUACUUCACCCCGAUUCUGUGUGAAUUUGGAGUUAAGGUCACAUAUUCGAAGGCCUAUCCUGUUUCGAUUACAUAUAACUGGUAUGCACUUCACAAAUAGCGAUGUAACUGAUGAAGGUUUUCUAAAUAAUUAUCUAGAUAGUUCGUCUAAUAAUUAUUUUCUUACCCCAAUUCUCGCAUAGAUAACAUGGCUGGACUCCAUCCCCACGGCAACCAGUACCUCCCGAAUGAGGUCAUUGCUGGAUGGUUUGGAGAAGAACCAGAUAAUGAUCAUCCGAUCCCUUUGAAUGAUCACCAUGAUGAAGACCUUUCAGAUGAUGCUAAUUCCGAACCAGAGGUUGAGAACCUACCCCAAGCAGCUCCCUUUCCAAUUCCUAGCCCCCGUCCGGCUUUUCAUGGCCCAACGCCUGAGUGGGUGGAAUGCUUGGAAACAUGGAGCCAAGGACAUGAUCAGCCCAUGCCAUUUAAUGGUGACCGAAGCUUUUAUGACCUAAGCAAUGGGGGCUCAGCAGACAGAACCUUUCUAAUCUUGGCCCGCAGAGUGGCCCGAAAUGAGAUUCAAGGCAGGAGAGCCCUACAUCAGAUUACCGAAGUUGUCGCUGAUGUGAGAAUGCAUACCCUUCGCACCAUUCGUCUAGAAGAUGCUCGCGAGAGAUAUGAGAGAAACCAUGAAACCCUACUGCAAGCAUUGGCUGAAUCACGAGCCGAAGUCAUAGAGCUCUGAGUACGCCAGAGGGUAUACGAAAGACACCUACUUGAUGUGGAACGUCAACUGGCUGAAUUGAGAGUUCAUCAGAGGGAUGAUCGUCGCCAGUAGUAGAUGUUUUACUUUAUUGUCCUUGUUAGAAGGAAUCGUUUUUCUGUCUUUGCCCGAUGUGGCAUUUUCUAUGAAAUUAUCUUGUACUGUAAGUACUUUAGGUUAGGUCUUUAUGUUGUCAAGAACUAUCUUCUCUGGAUAUGAUGUAAGACCUUUACAAGGUCAUUUUCCCGAAAUUUUACGUCGUGAAUAUCAAAGAUAUUGACGGUCGGCUAACUUCUGUGUCAUUCUUUAUUCAAGUACUCUUAUGAUACUUUCAUAAGAGUCUAUCUGAAACAUGCUUUAGUCAAGUCAUUGGACUAUAGCAAGUUAGAUCCGGAGACAUUUCCAAGUCUCUUUUAGUGGUUGGAUCCUGUUAUUCACCAACCAACGAUACCUCAGCUUGAACGACAAAUGUCUUAAGACCAUUCUACGAACUUACUUCCACCCGUUACUAGGACUGCAUCAUAGGGAUGUAGGUCAACCCUUCAUAAGCACACCUCCACUCAGUACUAGGACUGCAUCAUAGAGAUGUAGGUCAAACCUUCAUGAACAUACUUCCAUUCACUUCUAGGACUGUAUCAUAGGGAUGUAGGUCAAACUUUCGAGAACAUACUCUUACCCUUUUCUUGAGCAAUAGCAGUACAUCUAGGGUCAACCAGAAUCGCUCACAGAAUCCUUAUCUUUCAUGCUAUAAGAACCAUGUCGCCAACAAUCAGCUUCAUACGUACAUCUCUUUCUUUGAGAUCGCCUUUCUAGCGAAGCCUUCAUAUCAGAACACCGAAGUACUCAUGCAUGGAGUACCUCAUAGUUCUUUUCUUUCUGAAGAAAUCGCCGAAGUACCACCCGUGCAGUACGUCAAGUUUAAUCCAAGGAUUCAUGCGGUUCAUCUAUCAUUGAGGAGUGUAUACAUAAGAGUGAUAUAUAAUCAAGGUUCUACAGGUUUAGAAUUGAUGAUUCCAGUUUAACUUCUUUUUCCUCGAUGGGAUGUGAGCCUAAAGAGGAAUCAGUUAUCUGACUACCUUUUCAAUCCUAAUUAUAUACGACUCGUAUACACGAGACUGUGAUUGUGAAACCAUGUAUGAAUUCUAAUGUGAACUUCAGGAUGGAGAACUGCCUAAGUAUACGAGUAAUCGCAUCGUCAUGUGAACCAACUUAGAACCCAGUAUGACUCCCGUAAACGGAUUGCCCUACAAUCUAAACACUCCGGAGAUACAAGAACAGUACAGACAACUUGGCAAACUACACAGAAAACCCAGUCAUAUUCUACCAGAGAUCGACGGAUUGCAUCGUAUGUACCUCGGAUAUCGAGGACUCCGUUAAGAUUUUCCAGUAGAAAUCGUUAUCUCUGCCUCGCAUAGAUAAAUUGGUUGAGUAAAUGCGAGGAAAGUGUUACUUUCAGAAAUGGAAAUGUGAUCUGAAUAUCACCAGUUCGAGUGUUAGGGAAGGAUGACCGGAAGACUAUCUUCCAAACUCGAAGUGGACACUUUGAGUCCGUAGUGAUACCCUUCGGAUAGGACCAAUACGCCCAUAGUUUUCAUGAGCUAAAUGAGUAGGGUACGUCUUUCUUACUUGGAUCAGUUCGUCAUUUCUCCAUGUAAUGACUUACUAAUCUACCCUCGUAGUAAGAAGAAACCCACGGAAACAUCACCCUCAGAGAUACUUUUCGCAAAGUUCUCUGAACUCGAGUUUUAGAAUUGAAGAGUCAAAAUUUCCUAAGACACACUAUUAGUGAUGUGGAAAUUCUUGAGUACUCUGGAAAUUGAUCCGAAACCGUUGGGAAUUGGUCGGCACUAGAGACGCCGACAAACAUUCGCCAAAUUCCAGGUCUUACAGACCUACUGUUAUAGUUCAUCCAGAACCCUUCGCAAAUCACAAAAAACCGUAAGACUUUGACCCAGCAAGGGGUGGCCUUUGACUGGGAAGUUAUGCAAGAGAAAGAACCUUUGGAAUUCCAAGUGAGAAACCAAGUUCUUUAGGAAAACUCAUUCUGGGAAUGGCUUAAUACGCUUCGUAAAGCGUGGGAAGCUAAAUCCAAAAUAGAUAGGACCUCCGAGAUUCUUACUAGAAUCGGUCUUGUGCCUCGCACAAACUAGACCUACUCUACGAACUCAGUAACGUACAUUCUACUCUUAGCGUCUCGAUCGUGAAACCAUACCUUUCCGUUAGGACUCUUGUAAGUCCACUCGUCGAGAUCCUCGCCUUCGUAUUACAACUGUAGUGACCCUCGACCGAGAGGUCAAGCGGACGAAGCAACGUUGUCGCCUAUUAGUGAAGGUUCGUUGGGAUGCCAACUGAGAACCCGAUUUCACUUAGGAGCGCUAGAACCAAUCGAUUAAGAAGUUUACUCCUCACGACUCGAUCAUUCGUACCUACUACCUUACCUAAAUUCAAAUUUCGGGACGAAAUUCCCUUCAACAGGGGGAUGAUGUGACAACCCGAAAUUUCCAUUCUGAACAAAUCAUAUCAAUCCAAUAGAAGUUAGAACAGUUACAGUGAAAUUCCAAACAUUGGGUAUAAGUUUGAGUUUUUUAGGAUUUACACUUAUGGUGAUAUCAGGAGAGUGGAUGCACUAGGGUUUUGUGCAACACUGUUAUUCUAAUACUCUAGGAUAUUAGAGUUCAUUCCGGGAAUAAAAAUAUUUUCUGCCAAAAAUCCCAGGACUAUAUAUAGAAAUCUGAACCAAAUAAUUCAUUAGUUACAUUUCCAAUUAGAGAAAAGACAAAUUCUUGGGCCGUGAAUUCCAUCUUUAAUUGCCAAAAUGCCCUAAAAACCCUCCUUAAGCCAAGAGACUAAUUUGGGCAUGUACCUAAAUGAGCUUAGGACUAGCUAACACACUUAGAACACCAUGAGUAAGGUGUUCACGGCCCAAAAGGUUCUAGGGCCAUGAAUUCCAUAAAAUGGUGCCAUAAACUCUUCUAAAGCCUAGUACAAAAGCCUAGUUUAGUUCCUUGUUAAUUUAGGGACUUGAAAACACUAUAAACAUCCUCCCAAGGGAGAUUACGGCCGUAAUCUCCAAGGGAUAUGUUCCCAGGGCCGUAAACUCCUAAAAGGUGUUAUAUUAUGCCCUAAACUCUUCCAUAGACCAAGCCAUUAAGUAGAAAUGCUUAUUAGGGCCUUAUAGAGCAUCAAACAUCAAAUGGACACAUAAGUAUGAGUUCACGGCCGUAAACUCAUGAGUUUACGACCGUAAACUCAUUNNNNNNNNNNNNNNNNNNNNNNNNNNNNNNNNNNNNNNNNNNNNNNNNNNNNNNNNNNNNNNNNNNNNNNNNNNNNNNNNNNNNNNNNNNNNNNNNNNNNNNNNNNNNNNNNNNNNNNNNNNNNNNNNNNNNNNNNNNNNNNNNNNNNNNNNNNNNNNNNNNNNNNNNNNNNNNNNNNNNNNNNNNNNNNNNNNNNNNNNNNNNNNNNNNNNNNNNNNNNNNNNNNNNNNNNNNNNNNNNNNNNNNNNNNNNNNNNNNNNNNNNNNNNGGGGGGGGGGGGGACACAAGUAGAAUCAUUCUAGUUAUUAUAUCAAUCACAUGUGAUUAAUAAGCAGCAUUUAAAUACUCAUUAGCCGUUUUACCAAACAGUUUCCUUCAAAUGUUUUUCAUAAACGUUUUAUAUGUUUAAAAGUCCUUAUUAAAUUGUUCAUUUUACUCUGUAUGUUUCAUUUCAAUCUCAAUUACAAUUGUGUUUCAAACAAAUGUUUCUUUAUACUUAAACUGUUUUAUCAAACCCAUACUUUCUACCCGUUUUAUAGAUUGACAUCAAGUCGAUCUUUUCUUAGAUGAUAAUUAUGUUCAAAGGUUUUACAAAACUUAUUUUAUGCUUUUAUAUUAUAAAUUGCAUGCCUCUAUAUGUAUAGUUAUAUAAAUAAUGUUUAAAAGACUUAGGAAGGCUAUCCACCUUUUUUCCUUUUCCACGAUUUGGAUGUGGUCUGAUAGGAUAUCGGGUACCCGUCCGAAGGUCGUUUAAAUGUUAUUUAUAUAUCAUAUAUACAUAUAUAUAGUCAAAAAGGUUCUUCCAGUUCAUUCAAUACCCGUGGGUAGCAAGGGUAUACGCCCAUGUUCAUACGUACCAGUUAUAUUACUAGUAAGCUACCAUAGGGGUAGUUUAGGAAGAUACUAGAACUAUUAUUAGAACACGAUAUCAUACAAAGACUCAGUUCAUUCAUGAGUCAAUAUUUGCUAGAUAGAGAGAACAUACGUUACAGCUAGCACACACAGAACAUUACAGUACAUUACUAUACUAUUACAUAGAUAUGUUUUACAUGAUUACGCUUACAUGAGUACGUUUACAUAUAUUCGUUUACAUGAGUGCGGUUACAUAUACUUUGAUAAGACAGACAUCAUUAGGUGCUAUAGCAUAGAACAAGUUCAGGAUCUAACUAUACCGAUGAAUCGCAACGCAUUGUGAUAGUUAUAUCGGGUAUACAUGAUCAUAGUAAUGUGGAUGUUAACGACAUGCAUAUAUGCAUGGGCGUGUACAGGUCUCAAAAUCCCUUUGACAGGGGAGCGUUUAGCCUGUGAUCUAGCCAUCACAUUAUGCCUUAUCCCUCAAAUAAGGCAAUAAGAGUAUAGAGGCAGUCACUUAUUACAAAUACUGCAGUACUUACAAAAUUACCCUAGACUUAAGGUAAUUAGUACGGUCUUAGUUCGACACUACACCAUAGUACUAUUUCAUUUUCCCAUUACAUUCACUUCGUGAACAUUCACACGACGCACGGUAAUAUAGAAACUAUAUUUUUGGUUAAUGAUAGUCAGACUUGGGAAAAUACACACUCUCACAAGAGACACACACACAGAUACUAGAUGCCUUGGUAGAAGGCUACAUAUAGAUCAGUUAAGUCUUUGUAGAAGACUCCCUGUUAUAAUAGUAGGAAUCAUAGGGAUUUCUAGGGUUUCUCAAACGUUUACAGUUGUUCUACAAACAUUUUCAUACUUAUACGAGCUUUCUUUUAAAACAAUGCCAAGUAUUUAAUUAGAAGUUUUACAAAUUAAGACACUAAAAUACUUAUGAUCUCACCAGCUUCAAAACUGAUACUCGCUUUCAAAAUUACUUGUAUCCUCAGGUCAACCAUAGACAGGUACCGAUGCAAGUUUUAGAGAAGAUGGUGCUCGUUCAAGACUCUUCUUUCAUUUUGAUUUAUACUGUAGUGUCUAUUAUAAUUUGACAGAACACACUUGUAUUGAAAUUAUAUUAUUAAUGCAAUGAAUGAUGUUGUUUCUUGAUUACUACUUUUCAUUGUUGUGAUACUGUAAAUGAUGUCCUCCGCCCCAGAACGUUUCUGCCGUUCAAUGGUUUUGGGGUGUGAUAGAUUGGUGAGGCCAAACGGCAUCACCAUGAACUCAUAAUGACCAUAGCGAGUCUGGAACAUUGCCUUAUCCACUUCCUAUUCCCUACUCUUAUCUGGUGGUAACCCGAGCAUAGAUCAAUCUUGGAGAAGCAUGAUACGCUCUGCAAUUGAUCGAAUAGAUCAUCAAUCCUAAGGAGUGGGUAAUGGUUCUUCACUUGCAACUUGUUCAACUCCCGAUAAUCUAUGCACAUUCGAUGAGACCCAUACUUCUUCUUCAAAAAUAGAAUUGGUGCUCCCCAGAAUGAAAUGCUUGAUUGGAUAUACUGCCUGCCCAACAGCACCUAAAGUUGAGAGGAAAAGUCAUGCAUCUCUGGUGGUGUAAGGCGAUACGACGCCUUAGUAAUUGGUGCCGCACUAGGAAUGAGAUCAAUCCUAACCUCCACCAUCCUCACUGGAUUCACACUGGGUAAACUCAACAGAAAAACAUCUGGAAACUCUCUGACUGAUGGCACAUCUGAAACCAAAACUCUCUUCUCAUCUUGAGUAUCAACCACAUAAGGGAGAUAACCCAAACACCCAUGUUGUAGAUACAGUUGAGCUCUAGCAGCUGAAAAAAAGGACAAACUAACCCUGGUACCCUCUCCAUAAAUAGUCACUCUUCCCCCACUUCGGGUUCGAACCACCACCAAUUGCCUCUCACAAUCGCAGAUCUGGGUAGACACAAACUCCCAAAUCUCCUUCUUGAGCAUGCUAAAGUAGUGGGACAUCUGAACCUGCUCCAAAGCAGCAUACUUGGGGCAUAAAAGUGCGCUCUCCAUGAACAUCAUGGUGAUCUCCGCCACUGACUCUAUUGUGUGCUUCGACGGCAGAUACUCCUGAGACAAACUCUCCCUUUCAACCACAGGAACAUACUCGGCAUGAAACAAAUCGAUAAAUUGCUCCCAAGUCAUUGCGGCCUUCUCUACAGGAGAAUAAGCAUUGGUCACUAGCUUCCACCGAUCCUUCACCCCUAAACGAAGAAGGUUUAAGGAAAACUUGACCUUCUGGUCCUCUGGGAACAGGCAAGUGAAAAACAUCCCUCUACAUCAGAUAGCGACCACAUGGAAACUAUCAGGUCCAUGACCCCGUGGAACUCCUUGGGCUUCGUGUUGCUGAAGUCCCGCUACUGAACCGUCCCUCUCCCCCGGAGUCUGACAACAACAACUGUUGUAAUGGCUGCAAUAGCAACAACCUCAGACACAACGACGUAUCACUCAUCGAAAAGCUCAAUCAUCACCGUCUUAAUAGAUCCAAAUACCUCCUGGAUUUCCUCCUUAAUAACCAUGGUCACCUGAGUGGUGAUCAUCUCAUGAAUGUUAUCGUCAGUCAAUCGUGGUGAUCAUCUCAUGAAUGUUAUCAAAAAAAGAUUCAUAAUCCAAACUACUAUAUUAUCUUAGAACUACUCAAACCUCAGGGUUCAUGACUUCCUCGAUACCCAUACGACUCCUACGCUUCCAGUAGUACGGACCCAUACUACCUUUCACACCUACCCGUAUUUGUCUGACGGGGUCGUUAUAGAGCACCAUCCUCCAAUUCCAUGAAUGAUCGAGAGCCCUAAAAUACCAUUGAAGUCAACCCCACCAGUGUGAACUCGGAUUAUAGUAGGCAUGAAACAAGGAUCCCUAAAAUCAAAAAACAAGAAGACAAAUAAAAAACAAAUAAAGAAUAAGGGGAGAUCGAAGAACAAGAGAAGAAUGGGGAUCAAGAUUAAUAAUGUAAUGGUCUAUUGUACUCCGGAAAUAGAUCAACCUUCAAAUAACAUCACAAGUAGAAUAAAAUUGAUCGACUUGGUUGUAUAGCUAGUUAACAAGGUGACGUGUUCAGGGGUCUUCGUUGCAUCUUUGACUUAUCUGCCAUCUCCACCAACACAUCUACUUAUCAAUAUCUGCAUUUUUAUCAUCAAGUUUUCAAAGACCCCUCAAAAUUUUUUGAUUUCAUGUUUUAGGGAUUUAAUCAGCAGUUUUGAUUUCGAUUUAGGUUUUGAUUUUAGGUUAUUUUGCUAUCAGGAUUUAAUUUUUGUUUUCUUUUGAUCAUUGGUUUCAAGUUCGAUUUUCAUUUUAGUUUUAGUUUUGAUUUUGGUUUCAAGUUUAGGCAAAGAAGUCACAAUGGUUUGAUUUUAGGUGGGCAUGAGAGGAAUUCCAGUCGGAGAAGACAUAAGUGAUGAAACUGAACUGUAAACAUGAAAUCUGUUUUGAUAUCGUUUCUGAUUUUGAUGUGGUAUUCUUUUGAUUGUGUUUUUGAUGUGGUGUUCUAAUUCUGGCAAGGGAGGAUGAGAUGACAAGUCGGUCAAAGAAGCAUGGACAGAAGGAAAUGGAUCAUGUGGGAUAGUUCAACCUAAGCAUAGAAUAGAUGUACGAACAGGUCGCGUGGGGUGGGGGAAUGACCCAUUGCAUUUUAAUAGUUAGACAAAACUACAAAAUGGUCCCUGUGGUUUAACAAAUGUCAUAAACUCAGUCCCUGCUAUAAUUUUUGAGAACAUGGUCCCAUUGGUUUACAAAACUUGCAUGAAUGACCUUUUUAUUGACGUCGUUACUGUUCAUCAGUUAUUGUAAUGGUAUUUCGGUCUUUUCAAGUAGAAGAGACUGAGUUUGUGACUCUGGGUAAACUAUAUGGACCAUUUAUGUAAUUAUUUUUUUAGAUUAUAUGUUUAUGAGUUUGUGGCUCCAUUUACUUUUUAAAAUAUCACUACGAACCCUUCAAUUUGAACUUUGAAAAAUCUUAUUUUAACCCCUCUAUUUUCUAAAUUUUCGUGUUUAACCCCGUAUUAUAUAUAAUUUGAUUUUAUUAAUAAUUUCCGUUCGUUAACUUAAAAAAAACUAUUUUUACGUAUUUAUUUUAAUAUAUUUGUCAAUAUAAUUUAAGGUGACCAACGUUUCUUGUUUAAUUUAGAACUUUCUUUCAUUAAAUUGUUUUUUUAAUAUAUGGUUUUCUUUAAUAUAAAAUUGACAGUUAAAAAUUAAAAGUUAAAAGACUAAUGUUUAAGUGAACCUAAACCAUUGGACUAUUGAUAUAAUUUACUCUUGUUUUGUAUCAUUGCCAAAAUGUGUAUAUGGACAAAGAAAAACCGAAUCUGACGAUCUAAAUUCAGAUUAUUAUUUUCUUGUCGAUUUUGUUUUGUAUAUUGGCUUCAAUUCUAUGCAUUGACCAAACCAAGUUUUGGGAGAUGGCCUAUAAAUAACACAAAUUUUGAAUACAUCCUACCUCUCUAAAAAGACGAACACAUUUCUUUAAGGAUACAGACCUUACGUAUUAGGCCGUGUCACCAUCCUAGUAUAUGACCCACCGACGUUUGUGAAUUCCAUGAAUUAAAAUGUAUUAUAUGAUAAUGUAUUUUGGAUGUCAUGCCAUUAAAUAAGCAAACAAGCAUUUAAAAUAUAGAUAAAUGCAAUAAAAUGUACCAAUAUUUUAUUUUUUUUAUUUUGCUAUCGUGUUUUUCUGAUACAAUUAAGUCAUAAUGUCUUUAGUUUGUUGCAAUUCUGACUAGUUGACCAAUUUGUUUCAAGUAAUUUCGUUAUCGUUGAUGACCCGUCAGAUAUGAAAAAAAUGGCAAAAAAGACACCGUAAUUUAUUUAUAUUUAUAUUUAUUUAUUUAUUUAUUUUUACGAUUUGAAUAAUAAAUUCUCUUAUCUUUUCCAAUUUUGAUUGUAAGUUUUCAAUUUUCUUCAAUUGCAACAUAAAUCAUAUGCAAAUACAACUUAGUUAUGAUCUUGUUUUCUCAAAUUGAAAGUUGAUUUCCAUACUCACAAACUCUUGGUAAAUUAAAUAGCUAUUUUCUUGCAGUUAAAUCAUUUUAAAAUGGAACCCAAAACAUUGACCACAUACAUAAAGCAAAAGAAAUAAACAUCCUAACCUAUAAGAAGUUCAACCAACAGCAUCCAUAUAUAUUAGUCUUCAUGACUUCUAAUUGCCCAUGGCACGUCAACGAGGCCAAUUGGCAGCACAAAUAUCUCAGAUGUUUCAUUUUGUUUUGCAUCUUUUUCUUUUCUAAUUCUUAUUUGCUUUAUCAUGGAAAAGACAAAGAGAAAUGUCGGUAACUUAUUUUCGUAUAACCCACAUGGUAAUUUUGAAGCUUUAGCCACCAUUUUGCAUCUUGAUGAACACAUCAGUUGCAAUCAAGGAAACAUUUCCAAUCAGGAGGUAUUACGGACCAUUGGAUUAUACUAAUGUAAAAGGUACAUUGUGGGCCACUUACUGGUACUUGCUCUGAUAAAAUUCGCAUAUGAGCAAAAGUAACAAUAACAUAUACAAAGUUAUACUACAUGUACAAACUAAAAAGCAUGAAAGGUAUAGUAUAAAGCCUGACCAAAAUAGUUACAAAGGACCACAAAAAUUCAUAAAAACACAGCCACAACAACUUCAAUGAACAUCAAAGGAAGAACAUGGAUAGUUUAGAUAUUAAUUUUACUGGACAUUGUUUUUACUAGGUGUUAAUCGUGACACUUAAUAGUUAAUAGGAAUAUAUGUGUAGAAAGUUUAUUAGUUGGUACAUAAGAAAUCCUUUUAUCAACAAAAUGUAGCUUAAUCACAACCACACCCAUGGGUGAAGAAUAGAAUCAUUAUCUAUCUUUGAUUUCCAUAAUCAGAAACUCUGCCCCUGACACAAUAGAAUCAUUAUCUAUCUUUGGUGUUUACGCUGAGGAUACAAAUCCAUGAUUGUGCAUCUACUUUAGACUAUGCAUAUGGACCUUGAUUAUCUUCUAAAUUUUCAUUCCAAUAAAAUCUUGCAAGUUGCAAUAGUUGCAAACACUUUAAUAUUUCCAAACCACAUGGAACAUACAUUAGUAAGUAAUUCUUGAACAUCAACCACACGAAGGAAUCUAACUAAAUCAAAUAAAUUACAUAUCUUAGUCGUUCGGGAAAUACUGUAGACAUCAACAACCAUUCCAAACUUUUAUUGUAAUGUGAAUUGAAAACACAUUUGUUUAACUGAGUGUCAAAAUUGGCAAAAAUUGAAAACAUAAUGUGAAAAUCGCAAAAAUAUGAAAACAUAGUGUCUUUUGUAUCACUGUUUUUCGUUUCUGACACAUCAUCAUGUCACGUCAGUAUUGCAUUGUAACCUGGCCACUUGAAUUGUAACCUGGCCACUUGAAGCUCACCGAACUACCGAUCAUAAUUACAACAAACUGAAAACAUAGUAACAUAAUUGUCACAGAAAAAAAUGUGGUGAAAAUUGAAAAAAAAAAAAAAAAAAAGUUAGUGACUUUUGUGUCAUUUACUCUUAAACUGUGAACAUAUUUAAUCCUUGAUUUGAUUUGAUAAGUUAAAAGUAACCAUUAAUUUAAAACAUAUUUAAAAGAACAUGAAUAACAAAUUAGACUAUUCUGACCAACAAUUUUUCAAGAUUUACAUAAAAAGUAGAAAAGCUACCGAAAUAGUUACAAUUUUCGUACGGCACCACCUGCCAGAAUCAUAUAUUUUUUUACAACUUUAACACUUCAUAACUCUUUCAUUGAAAAUUGUUUGAGCUGAUUUUUUUUCGUUGUGUGGUUUCUAACAAGGGUUAUUCAUGGAUAUGUUACACUCCAUAUUUGGAUGUUCGGAAGUUAUAGUUUUUAGCGUUAAAGUUUUAGCCAAGUUUGAACCUUCAAAACAUUCUUUUAGGAAGUCCGUUUAAGUUGACUUAUUUUUUUAAUUUUUUAAUUUUUAUUCUAUUCUUCAUACAAGGCUUUUCCGUGUACAUAUCACACUUAAAAUUUUGAUGUAAGGAAGUCGCACUUUGAUAACUCUAGAGUAAAAUGAUUGGUGUUUUUUGAAAUGUCCAAAGGUUACCAUUUUUAUGUGGAUAUCAGGAAGUCAUACUUCUAUGCACACCGUAUUCAUAUUAUAUUAUAAAUAUAAGUUUAAAUUAGAAUAUAACACGUAGCCUUAACAUAAAACAUUACAUUAAACACUAUUAUGCAAAAAAGAGUGAUUAUUCUUCCGAAUUACAAAUGCAUACGUAAAUUAUUCAGUUACAUAUAAUGUAACACGACCAAUCAUUCAUUUGGUUAUUCCCAUUAGGUAGGAGGCGUGAGUGGAUUCACCAUUUGAUUUUGGUAUGCAGACUGAUAAACUACACAAGUAAAAUUAUGAUUACCAAUGUGGUCAAUGUGUGACAUGUUUAAUGAUCGGAACAUCUUUAUCGCGUGCUGACAAGAUAUACCACCUUUCAGUUGUUUCCUACAUAUACAACAUAUCAGAGACUAAUUCGCAACAUAAUACAAAAUUCGAGACACUCAUUCAUAAGUUAAUACAAUAUUUCAGACACUUAUUCACAACUUUAAAUAUACAUGAUUUCCAUGAGGCAUUAUAUCACACCUUGUGUUGACCAUGCUUCUAGAUCUUAGAUAAUUUACAACAACAAGAUGAUUUACAUAUAUGUGAUCAUCGAAGUGGGUAUUUGAGUUUAACGGAACUCAAGAGUUGUAUGAUGGAAGUAGUUCAUGGAAUAAGGGUGGUGGUAUGAUGGUGUGGACCACGACGGUCUGAUUCUAGGUGGUGGUUUCUAGAUCUAGAACUUAUUUUCGAUGGUGGUAUUGAGAUAUAAAUUUGAUGGUUGUCGGAGGUUCAAAAUAUGAGACUGUCAUGCAUCAUAGAAUCGUCAGAGAUUCAAGAUUUGAGAUUUUCAUGCUUAUUAGAGUCGUCAGAGGUUCCAUAUAUGAUAUUUUUAUUCUAGAGUAUAGAGUAUGUGAUUUUCUUGAUCCUCGACGAAGUAGAUCUAUAAUAGAAAACCAUGUUAGAGCUCUGAAGUGGUGGUAGAACCAACGUUGGUCGCCAUAAAAUGAACUAUACACUCAAUAUCAAGAUAUAAAAUGCAUUAAAUACAUUAGAUCUGAUGCAAAUAUGGUGGUGUUUUUAGCAAAAAAGAAUGAGAAAGAGAUGAAUGAAAGUUAAGGUAUUUUUCCAGAGCAACGACGAAAACGAAGCAACUUUGGUGGUCGUGAUGACAAUCGUCGGCGAUGACGGUUUACGGUGGAGAUGGAGACGGUGGUAUGUGGCAGAGAAGGUGUGUUCUUGAAGCUUGGUGUUGAUGGGAUAGUUUGAAAGUGCUCAGAAAGAUAAAAAAAAUAAAAGGUUUUGAAUUUUAAAAAAUACCCUUUUUAAUAAACUAACAAAGAAUGGUUCCUAGUGUUCCUGAGUUUUGGAGUUCCCAUUUGAACCACUCCACACACACACACACACACACACACACACACAUAUAUAUAUAUAUAUAUAUAUAUAUAUAUAUAUAUAUAUAUNACUCAAAACCUGGUAAGGAUUUCAAGUAUUGCAACACCCAAAUCGUAGAAGAAGGAGUUUAUUGGAGAAGUGUUGGUUAGCUAGGAGCUUAUAGAUCCAUAUUCUACUAUUAUUCAUCAUCCUCCAGAAGGUAUAAAGUGUCAACCUUUAUGAUUCCUUGCUUAGAUCUACUUUAACUUAGGAUUUUGGCAUGUUUGGUCCCAUAGGUUGAUUCUUGUGAGUAAAAGCUACUCCAGAAGCUUAGGUUAGCAUUUAUUGAUGCUUCAGAGGUCCCUAGUGCAUAAAAAUCGUUUCUUGAUGCAUCUGGUCCAGCCAUGCAUGUCUUGUUGUUCUUAAUAUGAAGUUACGAAGUUAGAGUUUGGUUUUGGGCUUCUUUGAGUCAUGCAAAGGCAUCAAGUUGUCGAAUUUAUCAAUUAAGACCUUCCCAUAAUUAAGAUAUCUUUUUUUGGAAAAAAGGUCUUUAAGCUUUAAGAGCUUAAUAUCAUAUUUAGGUAGCUGAUGAGUUCUCUGGACAUACCCUUUAGGUACUCACGACGUAACGAUUUAGCUCAUGUCCCCUUUCAGUGUUAGUCAAAUACGUUGGGCGUAUGUGUGGUGUACGCAUGGUUAGUUGCGUCCAGAACAUGAAGGGUAAAAGGGUCUUGUAACCUUUAUAAGAGAGAUGAUGAUUUGGACCUUCAUUUGGGGGUUAUUACUCAAAAUAGUGAUUAAGAUUGGUUUGAAUGUGUUUAGUGUGAGGAUUUGUUGUACCAGCAGCUUGUGUUUAAUUAUUUAUCAUCAGAUUGACGUGAGUCUGUUCACUGUACUCGUGGGUCGAAGGCACGAAUGUCGAGCGACUGAUUAUGUUUGUAGGAUGCUAGUUGUCUGUCUGAUAGUUGUAUGUAAUAUAUAUUGGGUAGGUCCCCUUAUGCGAGUUAGGAUGAGGCUCGUCAUACUCAUUAGGCUGGGCCUAUUAUACGAGUUAGGGUGGGGCCCAUUAUGUGUAACACUCUAAAUUUUCAAAUAGAAUUUUCAUUUAUAAUUCCACACAAAACACAAUUUAACAUCUCUCAUAUUCAAUUUAUAAAUGUUUCAAAACCCAAACAUCAAAACAGUUUGUCACGUAUGCUAGAAUCCUCAAAACAUAAAUCAACAAGCUGCGGUGUACAAUCAUGCCCACACCUUCCCGCAAUCCUGAGAUGUACCAGAAACACAUUUCACACAACACUGUAAGCAUAAAGCUUACUGAGUUCCCCAAAAUACAACACACAAAUAAUUAGCCUCUCAUGGCUAUAUUUCGAUAAGGACCCUCCGGUCAUGUGUCUCAGUGAAGACCCUUUGGUCUCAUGACUCGGUUUGGACCCUCUGGUCUGUCACACCCCAAAACCAAGAACGGCGGAAACGUUCUGGGGCGGAGGACGUCAUGUACAGUAUCACAACAAUGAAAAGUACUAAACAAGCAAUAACAUCAUUCUCAUUAAUAGUAUAAUUAUUAUACAUUUGUAAAACAACUGUAACCGUUUGAAAAACCCUAGAAAUCCCUAUGAUUCCUACUAUUAUAUAAAGGGUGUCUUCUACCAAGACCUAAUUGUUCUAAAUGUAGUCUUCUACCAUGACUUAACUGUUCUAAAUGUUCAUUUCUUGUAAAAGUGUGUAAUUUUCCCAAGUGUAACUAUCAUUAACAAAAUAUAGUUUUUACAUUUAAUGUUUAAGUGAAAUGAUCACUAAAUAUAUGAUAAGGGGAAAUUAAUGUAGUACUGUAGUGUUGUAUUAUAGGAACUACUGAUGUACUAACUACCUUAAACCGGAUUUAUAUUAAGGUAUCAUGUGAUUAACUGUAGCAUACUAUCGACUGGUAUCAACGACAAAAGUUAGGUCGUAAAAAGAAAUGACGUUUGGUACCCGCAGACCUGCAGGUCCGGCUGUAGCUAGCAGCAAGGUGUAGGAUAGUCAAUCCAGUAUAGAUCUAUACGCAAACUCACGCUGUCCCUUCAAGAGACUCUGGCAACAACACGGGCCAUGACAUUGAAGUCAUGCUCCGAUUCAGAUCACAAUUCUGUCAAUGUAUAUAUGUAUAUGUAUUGUAUUGUUACUCGUUCUAGUAUCGUUGUAUAUGUUCUCUUUCUAGUAUAGUUGUAUAUGUUCUUCCGCUAGUAUAGUUGUAUAUGUUCUUCCUCUAGUAUAAUUGUAUAUGUUCUUCUCCUCGUAUAGUUGUAUAUGUUCUUCUCCUAGUAUAGUUGUAUAUGUACUCAUAGUAAUGUAAUGUAUAUGUUCUCAUAGUAACGUAUGUUCUCUAUCUAGCAAGUAUUGACUCAUGAAUGAACUGACUCAUUGUAUGAUAUUGCAUUCUAGUAAUAGUUCUAGUAUCUUCCUAAACUACCCAUAUGGUAGUUUACUAGUAAUCUAACUGGUACGUAUGGACAUGGAUGUAUACCCUUGCUACCUAAGGGCAUGGGAAGAAAUGGAAGGGCCUUUCUGACUAUAUAUGUACAUAUGUUAUAUAACUAAUAUUUAAACGACCUUCGGACGAGUACCCGAUAUCCCACCAGAGUGGAUAGUCUUCCUAAGUCUUUUAAGCAUUUCAUAUAUAACUAUACAUAUAGAGGCAUGCAAUUUAUAAUAUAAAAGCAUAAAUAAGUUUUGUAAAACCUUUGAACAUAAUUAUUAUCAUAAGUAAAGAUCGACUUGAUGUCAAUCUAUUAAACGGUUUGAAGGCAUGGGUUUGAUAUAACAGUUUAAGUAUAAGGAAACAUUUGUUUGAAACAAAAUUGUAAAUAAGUUUGAAAUGUAACAUACGGAGUAAAAUGAAUAGUUUAAUAAGGAGUUUUAAACAUAUAAAAUGUUUAUGAAAACAUUUGAAGGAAACUGUUUGGUAAAACAGCUAAUGAGUAGCCAAUCAUUUGAAUGCUGCUUAUUAAUCACAUGUGAUUGAUAUAAUAACUGGCAUAAUUCUACUUGUAUCCCCCAUAAAACAUUUUAAAAUAGUUAAAACAUUGAGUAAUGGGGUAUGAACUCACUUGUAGUAAGUGGAUCGGAAGGAAGUGUUGGAUAAGUGCUUGGUAUCAAGUGAAGACUUAGACACGCACAAAGAUCCUAAUAACAUAUAAGGAUAUAUGUAUAUACACAAUUAGUCUUUAAACAACUAAUAAACAAAGUUAAGACACUCUAGGACAUGCUAAACACUUUAUACAAGUGUUAUAAGUCUCAAGGGUUGCAUCUAAGUGUUGUAGGGAAAGGCUAGUGUGUUUGGGGUUCAAGGGUAAACUCCCUUGGAGUUUACGGUUUUCAUGACCAUUACCCAAGGAGUUUAUGGUAGUAAACUCAACGGUUUAUGUUCGUAAACUCUACACUUUAUGACCAUUUGUUGGUUUGAAGUCUUCUAAGCUAUUCCAAGCAUUCCUACUUCAUGAUUUAGCCUUAGGAAGUGUUGUGUGGCAUCAAAACACUCCUAAAUGGAGUUUACGGUCUAAGGACCAUUUCUCCAUGAGUUUACUACCUUAAACUCCUAAGUUUGGUAUUUGGCGGUUUUCAAGUCCUUAGCUCAAACAUGGCACUAGUCUAGGUUAGAUUCUAGCCAUAAGGAACAACCAUGGGCCAUUUAUGGGACAUUUACACAACAUUUGAGGUGUUUACGGUUUUGGGAGAUCCCCAAACCGUAAACACAUAAAAAUAUAUGAUUUUGGUGCUUUUUGUGUGAUACACUCAUCAAGGAUGGAUCUAGACAAGUCCCUAAGGCAUUGUGAAGCAUCUAGACACCUUAAAGAACCCUAAGGCACUAUAUUUGGUGUUUAUGGUUUUGGGAGCCUCCCAAAACCGUGAACACCUUGUUCUUGGUGUUCUUGGGACUUUUCCUUGGUAUAAACAUGUAUAGCUAGCUUAAAAUGACUCUAGGAUAGAAGUACUUACAUUGUGGAAGCUUAAAAUGAACUUUAAGUCCAAAAACACUAGUGUGUGUUCUUGGUGUUUUGGAAAAAACUAGUCAAAAGACAUAAAUUAAUGGAUUAAAGGAUGUACAAUCACUAGAUUAAGUGAUAUACUAACUUGAAAGGGUUAGAACACUUACUAGUUUGAAGAUCUAGAACAAAAAGUAGGAUGAUAAUUGAGAGAGUUUGGAGUUUACUCUUUUGGAGUUUACUCUUUUAGAAAAUGGGGAGUAAACACAAAUGGCUAGAUUUUGGGGAGUAAAGUCAUACAUAGGUGUGAGUUUACGAUUUUUGGGUGAUUUUUCAACCAAAACAUAAAAGUUUGGUCAGGAAUUUCUAAGCCGCGAGGUGUUUGCGGUUUUUAAAAUUCAAAACCGGAGACGCACUUUCUUUCACCCGUUCAUUUAAAAAUAAUAUUAAAAUAAUCAAACGAACCUUAUAUUUCUUGAAAAUAAGAAAUAAUGACUUUAACUUAUAAUACGAAGUGGUUGACUUUUAAAGUUUGACCGAAUGGAAAUUUUGGGUUGUCACAUCAUCCCCUGUUAAAGGAAAUUUCGUCCCGGAAUUAGAAUUUAGAUAAGGAAGUAGGUAUGAAUGAUCAAGUCGUGAGGAGGAAACUUCCAAAUCGAUUGGUUCUAGCGCUUCUAAGUCAAAUCGGGUCCUCGGUUGGUAUCCCAUCGAACCUUCACUAACGGGCGACUGCGCUGCUUCGUCCGCUUAACCUCUCGGUCGAGGGUCACUACAGUUCUAAUACGAUGGCGAGGAUCUCGACAAGUGCACUUACAAGAGUCCUAACGGAAAGGUAUAGUUUCUAGGUCGAGACGCGAAAAGUAAAAUGUACGUUACCGAGUUUGCGGAGUAGGUCUAGUUUGUGCGAGGUAUAGGACCGAUUCUGGUAAGAAUCUCAGAGGUCCUAUCUAUCUUGGAUUUAGUUUUCCACGCUUUACGAAGCAUAUUAAGCCAUUCCCAGAGUGAGACUUCCUAAAGAACUUGGUCUCUCACUUGGAAUCUCCAAGGUUUCUUUUUCUUGCUAAACUUUCCCAGUCAAGGGCCACCCCUUGCUGGGUGAAAGUCGAAAGGGUUUCUGUAGUUUGCGAAGAGUUCUGAAUGAACUAUGGCAGUAGGUCCAUAAGACCUAGAAUUUGGCGAAUGUCUGUCGGCGUCUCUGGUGUCGAAAAAUUCUCAACGGUUUUGAUAAAUUGAAAGAGUACUAAAAAAAUUCCCACAUCGCUAAUAGUGUGUCUUACGAAACUUUGACUCUUCUAUUCCAAAACUCGUGUUCAGAGAACUUUACGAAAAGUAUCUCCAAGGGUAAUGUUUCUAGGGGUUUCUUCUUACUACGAGGGUAGAUUAGUAAGUCAUUACAUGGAGAAUUGACGAACUGAUCCAAGUAAGAAAGACGGACUCUAAUCAUUAAUCUCAUGAAUACUAUGGGCGUAUUGGUCCUAUCCGAAGGGUAUCACUACAGACUCGAAGUGUUUGCAUCGAGUUUGGAAGAUAGUCUUCUGGACAUCCUUCCCUAACACUCGAACUGGUGAUAUUCGGAUCUCAGACCCAUUUCUGAAACUAAUUCUUUCCUUGUGUUUGCUCAACCAAGUCAUCUAUGCGAGGCAGAGAUAACGAUUUCUACUAGAAAAUCUUGACGGAGUCCUCGAUAGCCAAGGCACAUAUGAUGCAAUCUAUCGAUCUCUGGAAGAAUAUGAUCGGGGUUCUCCAGGGUGAAAAGCCUAGUCUUCUUAUUCUAUCACUAUGUGGUUUGCUAAGUUGUCUACACUGUUCUUGUGUCUCCGUAGGUGUUUAGGCUGUAGGGAAAUCUGUUUACAUGAGUCGUACUGGGUUCUAAGUUUGUUCACAUGACGAUGCGAUUACUUGUAGUCUUGAGCAGUUCUCCAUCCUAAAGUUCAUAUUAGAAUUCAAACAUGGUUUUACAAUCACAAUUUCGUGUAUACGAGUCGUAUAUAAUUAAGAUUGAAAAGGUAGUCGAAUAACUGAUUCUUCUUUAAGCUCACAUCCUUUUGAGGAAAAAGAAGUUAAAGUGGAAUCAUCAAUUCUAAACCUGUAGAACCUUGAUUAUAUAUCACUCUUAUGUAUACACUCCUCAGUGAUAGAUCAACCGCAUGAAUCCUUGGAUUAAACUUGACGUACUGCACGAGUGGUACUUCGGGGAUUUCUUCGGAAAGAAAAGAACUAUGAGGUACUCCAUGCAUGAGUACUUCGGUGUUCUGAAAUGACGGUUUCGCUAAAAAGACGUUUACUGAUAACGAGACGUACAUAUGAAACUGUUUUCAUGAAGAUCAAAUUGAAUCGAGUCGUAUGAUAAUGUCGGAAUCAUACUGAAACUUAAAGACAUUAGAUUUGAACAUAAGACAUUUUACAGACAAAACACAACCAUGCAACCAUCAACAGAGUUACAAUACUUUAGACUUACAACAAGACCAUUGCUGCGAAUAAGGUAUACUACAAAAGACAAUUAUACGCAACGCGAGCAUCCUUAUACUGACAGGAUCUCGCAAAAAGGUAAGACUCUAGUUGCACUAGUUCUGGAUAGUUUAUAAGUCUGUUACAACAACACGCCUAAGUUACAUUAACGAGGGUUCCGGAGUAGGCUCUCCUGCAGCUGUGAUCCUGAGAAUCCUCCCAUCUGUGCCAGAGUUCUUUGUUAUCGGGCAAUCCUUCUUGAGGUGUCCAAUUUCACUGCACUGGUGACAUAUAUAGACAACACCAAUAUUGGUGGUGGAAGUGAAGUGUCGAGUAGGAGUUAUGGGGACGCAGGUUCUUUCCUUGAUUUCCUUUUUCGGGCAAUCUCUUUUAUAGUGCCCAAACUCACCACAAUUAUAGCAAACUAGGCUUGCUCCAGUGGUGGAGGUAGUUCUACAGAUACGAGCAAUGUGCCCCACCUUGUUGCAAUUAUCGCAUUGCAAGGCUCGGCAAAUUCCCUCGUCGUGGUAGUUGCACCUGUCGCACUUCGGGAGAGUUCCUUUAUAUGGUCUGCUCGGUACGGGGAUGGCAGAGGUUUCCACUUGCUGUUGUUGCAUGGCAAGUUUGUGGGAUUUCUUGCGUUCUUUCUGGACUUGAUGCCUUCGUUUCUUGUUCUCUGUCUUUCGGCUUUACGAGCCUGUGACUGUUACUGUUUGGCGAAUUCCUGGAUGGAUACCACGAUUGGAAACUUCAUUCCCAUCAUCAGCAUUGUUUGUGCUGAUAGUGCUAUGGUGCGCAAGGACAGCUGUCACGGCAACCAUCACGGCAGUUGUAACUGUGGUUUGAAAGGUAGCGGCGUCCAUAGGAAAGGCGGAGGUUUCGUUGUUCGACUAAUUGCUUCCGGAUGACGACAUGAUUCUGUAACACGAAAGAUAAGGAUUUUGUGAGCGAUUCUGGUUGACCCUAGAGGUACUUCGAUUGUUCGAGUAAAGAGUAAGACUAUGUUCUCAAAAGUUUGACCUACAUCCCUAUGAUGCAGUCCUAGUACAAAUUGGAAGUAUGAUCGCGAAGGUUUGACCUACAUCCCUAUGAUGCAGUCCUAGUAACGGGUGGAAGUAAGUUCGUAGAAUGGUCUCAAGCCGUUUGUGGUUCAAGCUGAGGUAUUGAUGGUUGGUGAAUAACAUGAUCCAACCACUAAAAGAGACUUCGAAAUGUCUCCGGAAUUAAAUUACUAUAGUCUAAUGACUUGACAAAAGCAUGUUUCAGAUAGACUCCAAUGAAAGGAUGAUAAGAGUACUUGAAUAAAGAAUGACACAGAAGUUACCCGACUGUCAAUAUCUUUGAUAUUCGUGACGUAAAAGUUCUGGAAAAUGACCUUGUAAAGGUCUUACAUCAUAUCCAGAGAAGAUAGUGCUUGACAGCAUAAAGACCUAAGUUAAAGUACUUACAGUACAGGAUAAUUUCAUAGAAAAUUCCACAUCGGGCAUAGACAGAAAAACGGUUCCUUUUAAUAAAGAAAAAUAAAGUAAAGCGUCUACUGCUGGCGACGGUGAUCACUCUGGUGAACUCUCAGUUCAGCCAGUUGACGUUCCAUAUCAAGUAGGUGUCUUUCGUACACCCUCUGGCGUACUCGGAUCUCUAUGACUUUGGCUCGUGAUUCAGCUAGUGCUUGAAGCAGGGUUUCAUGGUUUCUCUUUGAUCCCUCGCGAGCAUCUUCUAGACAAAUGGUGCGGAGGGUAUGCAUUCUCACAUCGGCGACAACCUCAGUGAUCUGAUGUAGGGCUGUCCUGCCUUGAAUCUCAUUUCGGGCCACUCUGCGGACCAAGUUUUUUAGAGUUCUGUCUGACGAGCCCCCAUCGCUUAGGUCAUAAAAGCUUCGGUCACCAUUAAAUGGCAUGGGCUGAUCUUGUCCUUGGCUCCAUGUCUCCAGACAUUCCACCCACUCAGGCAUCGGGCCAUGAAAAGCCAGACGAGGGUUAGGAAUUGCAAAAGGAAGUUGCUUGGGGUAGUUUCUCAACCUCAGGUUCGGAGUUAGCAUCGUCCGAAAGGUUUUCAUCAUGGUCAUCAUUCACGGGGAUAGGAUGAUCAUUCUCUGGUUCUUCUUCAAACCAUCCAGCAAUGACCUGAUUCAGGAGGUACUGGUUGCCGUGGGGAUGGAGUCCAACCGCGUUAUCUAUGCGAGAAUUGGGGUAGGAAAAUAAUUAUUAGACGAACUAUCUAGAUAAUUAUUUAGAAAAUCUUCAUCAGUUACAUCGCUAUUUGUGAAGUGCAUACAAGUUAUAUGAAAUUGAAACAAGAUAGGCCUUCGAAUAAGUGACCAUAACUCCAUAUUCACACAGAAUAGGCGUGAAGUAAAAUUUUCACAGAUUCUGAGUCUAUAACAUCCUAAUUACAUAUAGCCUUAGUUUAUCCACUUAGCAACUAUCAACUUCGUAAUGAAGAUCCCGUUUUAGUUCUCAAGUAUAAAGUACUUAUAGUAACACCAAAUACUCCUAUAGUAUUUUAAGUUUAAUGUUAUGUUCUACUGUUGUCAUUGUGGUAGGGUUGGUAAGAUUUUAGACUUGUUGCAACCACACAACUACACUUAGGCACAUGCUAGUCAACCCUCGGAUAAUAUAGGUGAUCAGGCUAUAUCUUCCCAGUUUUGACCAUAUGUCUCUAAGCCCACUUGUGUUGCCCAACAAUCGUAAUUCUUUUGUACUGUCCUAGUGACACUGAUUUUAGUAUGAAUGCAACACGUAUACUUAAUUAAAUAUUUUACUAUUUAAAGUAUAAACUCUUGGUCAGAGUAUUUUUAAUCCCAUUUGUAUUUAUAGUUAGUAUAUCUUUUAUGGGUUGAUAUACUUAAUUCACUAUAAACAAUGCUCUGAUACCAAUCUGUCACACCCCAAAACCAAGAACGGCGGAAACGUUCUGGGGCGGAGGACGUCAUGUACAGUAUCACAACAAUGAAAAGUAGUAAACAAGCAACAACAUCAUCCAUUGCAUUAAUAAUAUAAUUAUUAUACAAGUGUGUUCUGUCAAAUUUUGAUAAACACUAAAGCAUAAAUCAAAAUGAAAGAUGAGUCUUGAACAAGCUCCAUCUUCUCUAAACCUUGCAUCGGUACCUGUCUAUUGAUGACCUGAGGAUACAAGUAAUUUUGAAAGCGAGUAUCAGCUUUGAAGCUGGUGAGAUCAUAAGUAUUUUAGUGUCUUAAUUUGUAUGUAAGAAUUUGUAAGUAUAUGAACUGUAAGUAUGGAAAAUGUAUAUGAACUGUAAGUAUAAAAAUGUUUUGUAAAACAACUGUAAACGUUUGAAAAACCCUAGAAAUCCCUAUGAUUCCUACUAUUAUAUAAGGGUGUCUUCUACCAAGACCUAACUGUUCUCAAUGUAGUCUUCUACCAAGACUUAACUGUUCUAAAUGUUCGUUUCUUGUAAAAGUGUGUAAUUUUCCCAAGUGUAACUAUCAUUAACAAAAUAUAGUUUUUACAUUUAAUGUUUAAGUGAAAUGAUCACUAAAUAUAUGUAAAGGGGAAAUUAAUGUAGUACUGUAGUGUUGUAUUAUAGGAACUACUGCUGUACUAACUACCUUAAACCGGAUUUAUAUUAAGGUAUCAUGUGAUUAAUUGCACCAUACUAUUGACUGGUAACAACGACAUACGUAUGGUCGUAAAAAGAAAUGACGUUUGGCACCCGCAGACCUGCAGGUCCGGCUGUAGCUAGCAGCAAGGUGUAGGAUAGUCAAUCCAGUAUAGAUCUAUACGCAAACUCACGCUCUCCCUUCGAGAGACUCUGGCAACAACACGGGCCAUGACAUUGAAGUCAUGCUCCGAUUCAUAUCACAAUUCUGUCAAUGUAUAUAUGUAUAUGUACUGUAUUGUUACUCAUUCUGGUAUUGUUGUAUAUGUUCUCUUUCUAGUAUAGUUGUAUCUGUUCUUCCUCUAGUAUAGUUGUAUAUGUUCUUCCUUUAGUAUAGUUGUAUAUGUUCUUCUCCUAGUAUAGUUUUAUAUGUUCUUCUCCUAGUAUAGUUGUAUAUGUACUCACAGUAAUGUAAUGUAUAUGUUCUCAUAGUAAUGUAUGUUCUCUCUAUCUAGCAAGUAUUGACUCAUAAAUGAACUGACUCAUUGUAUGAUAUCGCAUUCUAGUAAUCUAACUGGUACGUAUCAACAUGUAUGUAUAGCCUUGCUACCCAAGGGCAUGAGAUGAACUGGAAGGGCCUUUAUGACUAUAUAUGUACAUAUGUUAUAUAACUACUAUUUAAAAAACCUUCGGACGAGUACCCGAUAUCCCACCCGACCACAUCUCAAGCGCGAAAAGGAAAUAGGGUGGACAGCCUUCCUAAGUCUUUUAAGCAUUUCUUAUAUAACUAUACAUAUAGAGGCAUGCAAUUUAUAAUAUAAAAGCAUAAAUAAGUUUUGUAAAACCUUUGAACAUAAGUAUUAUCUUAAGAAAAGAUCGACUUGAUGUCAAUCUAUAAAACGGUUUGAAGGCAUGUGUUUGAUAAAACAGUUUAAGUAUAAGGAAACAUUUGUUUGAAACACAAUUGUAAAUGAGUUUGAAUGGAAACAUACAGAAUAAAAUGUACAAUUUAAUAAGGAGUUUUAAACAUAAUAAGUGUUUACGAUAAACAUUUGAAGGAAAAUUGUUUGGUAAAACGGCUAAUGAGUAGCCAAUCAUUUGAAUGCUGCUUAUUAAUCACAUGUGAUUGAUAUAAUAAUUAGCAUAAUUCUACUUGUAUCCCCCCCCCAUAAAACAUUUAAAAAUAGUUAAAACAUUGAUUAAUGGGGUAUGAACUCACCUGUAGUAAGUGGAUCGGAAGGAAGUGUUAGAUAAGUGCUUGGUGUCAAGUGAAGACUUAGACACGCACAAAGAUCCUAAUAACAUAUAAGGAUAUAUGUAUAUAAACAAUUAGUCUUUAAACAACUAAUAAACAAAGUUAAGACACUCUAGGACAUGCUAAACACUUUAUACAAGUGUUAUAAGUCUCAAGGGUUGCAUCUAAGUGUUGUAGGGAAAGGCUAGUGUGUUUGGGGUUCAAGGGUAAACUCCCUUGGAGUUUACGGUUUUAUGACCAUUACCCAAGGAGUUUACGGCAGUAAACUCAAGGGUUUACAGUGGUAAACUCUACACUUUGUGAGCAUUUGUUGGUUUGAAGUCUUCUAUGCUAUUCCAAGCAUUUCUACUUCAUGAUUUAGCCUUAGGAAGUGUUGUGUGGCAUCAAAACACUCCUAAAUGGAGUUUACAGUCUAAGGACCAUUUCUACAUGAGUUUACUACCUUAAACUCAUGAGUUUACUACCUUAAAAUCAUGAGUUUACUACCUUAAGCUCCUUAGUUUGGUAUUUGGCGGUUUUCAAGUCCUUAGCUCAAACAUGGCACUAGUCUAGGAUAGAUUCUAGCCAUAAGGAACAACCAUGGGCCAUUUAUGGGACAUUUACACAACAUUUGAGGUGUUUACGGUUUUGGGAGACCCCCAAACCGUUAACACAUAAAAAUAUAUGAUUUUCGUGUUUUUUCUGUGAUACACUCAUCAAAGAUGGAUCUAGACAAGUCCCUAAGGCAUUGUGAAGCAUCUAGACACCCUAAAGCACCCUAAGACACUAUAUUUGGUGUUUACGGUUUUGGGAGCCUCCCAAAACCGUGAACACCUUGUUCUUGGUGUUCUUGGGACUUUUCCUUGGUAUAAACAUGUAUAGCUAGCUUAAAAUGACUCUAGGAUAGAAGUACUUACAUUGUGGAAGCUUGAAAUGAACUUUAAGUCCAAAAACACUAGUGCGUGUUCUUGGUGUUUUGGAAAACACUAGUCAAAACACAAAAUAAUGGAUUAGUGGAUGUACAAUCACUAGAUUAAGUGAUAUACUAACUUGAAAGGGUUAGAACACUUACUAGUUUGAAGAUCUAGAACAAAAACUAGGAUGAUACUUGAGAAAGUUUGGAGUUUACUCUUUUGGAGUUUACUCUUUUAGAAAAUGGGGAGUAAACACAAAUGGCUAGUUUUUGGGGAGUAAACUCAUACAUAGGUAUGAGUUCAUGAUUUUUGGGUGAUUUUUCAACCAAAACAUAAAAGUUUGGUCGGGAAUUUCUAAGACGCGAGGUGUUUGCGGUUUUUAAAAUUCAAAACCCGAGACGACACUUUCUUUCACCCGUUCGUUUAAAAAUAAUAUUAAAAUAAUCAAACGAACCUUAUAUUUCUUGAAAAUAAGAAAUAAUGACUUUAACUUAUGAUACGAAGUGGUUGACUUUCAUCGUCCUAUCUCAAUAAUUGCAUAAAAUAAUAUACAACAUAAAUCACAAAGAUAAAAUGCAUAAUAUCACAUAUCUUAGUAUAUGCACAUAAGACACUCCAGUUAGUAACACAAAUAAGACCUUCCGGUCGCACAGUAAAUACUACUCAAGUAAGUAUAGUGAGAAGACUCACCUCAUAAGUAAAGAAAUUAUGUUUUGUACUCAAACCGUCGGUUAAAACAUCACCUACAUAUAUCACAAUCAUCUCUAAUUAACAAUUUAUUUUAGCAACUCCAAGGAUGUUAAGCUAACUCCUCUACUAAAUCUUAGAAAGGGAAAAAGACCAUUUUACCCCUCCGUGGUCUCCAAAGUCCACAACUAGACUAGACCCUAAAAGUCAACAGAAGUCAACACUCAAGUAAACGGUGCAUGUUGACUCCACUCGUCGAGUGCAUCUAUGCGACUCGUCGAGUUCCUUCUGGCCUCAGAAAAUUGGGAAAAUUCGAGUCAGCUCGCCGAGUUGUCUCAACAACUCGUCGAGUUUGUAUAGUGUCCAGAAUAUCGGCGAAAACCCUAACCAACUCGUCGAGUUCCUUCAGUCCUUUCUUUCAUUCAGACACUUUUAAGUGAGACUGUGACCCCAAACUCUAGAUCUAGCCUUCUAGGGCUGAGAUACCACAUAAAGCUCCAAGCUUUACGUCCAUACAUGUCAUUUAGGGGCUAAAUUGGCCGAAACAAGGCUCAAAAAGGAGGUUUAAGGCAUGAAGAUUGGCCAAAGCUUGAUAAAUCUUGAGUCCUUUGGCCUAAAGGGCCUAAUAGUGUCUAGAUAUGAAGUCUUAGCUUCAAAGCAUGCUCAAAACCAAUGAUGACUCAAGAGGAAGCUAGAUAUGGCCAUAAACUCUCUAAAUGGAGAGAUCUAACAAACAAGUGAUCAAGAUAAUGGAUUUUUACUUUCAAAUGGCUGCUACAGCUGAAUGGAUGUUGGAUCUAUAGACUCCUUCUUGUUCCAAGAUCUUCACUACUUAAGGGAUGUACCAAAACACACUCUCUUAGCCUUACAUACUCUCAAGAUGGAAGGUAACUUGAUUAGGGUUUCUCUCUGGGUGAUAAGGUGAUGAUGGAGGCGGGGGUAAAAGACUGAAUGUCCUUUAAAUAGGGUGCAAUCCUAAAAAAUUUUGGUUUACAUACUCAACUCCAACUCAUCAAGUUGAGUCCACCAACUCGUGGAGUUGGUUCUAAAGUCACGCAACCAAUCUCAGUCUCUACUUGACGAGUUGGGGCCUCUAACUCGUCGUGUUGCCUUAUCAUAAAGAAUAUAAAACAAUUUAAAUUUAUAAAUGGGAUUCGGGAUGUUACAAUUCUCCCCCCGCUAGAAUCAGACUUCGUCCUCGAAGUCAUUCUCUGGAAACAGCUCUGGAAACUACUCACGCAUCUCAGACUCCAACUAAGGAUGAAAGUGGGUCCAAACCCGAACUGAAUGGAACUGGACCCGGAAAACCUGGAACCGAUUAACCGGAUUUUGUUGAACCGGAAACCGGAUCGGUAUAUAGGAACCGGUUCCGGUUCCUUUCCGGGUACGGUUCCGGGUAAAGUGGGUCUAGAACCGGGAACCCAGAAACAUCAAAGUCGGUAGGUUGGAAUCAUAUAAGGUGGGUUUAGAACCGGAAAACCUGGAAAAAACAAAAUUUUUUGGUAAUUACUUAUUACUUAGUGGGUUGAACUUUAAAAAAUUUCAUAUUGAUAUCCCGACUUUGGGGGAUUGUAACUCGUUGAAUAUGAAACCAAAAUUAACAAAAUUAUAGUCUAAAAUCAUGUACAAACUCUAAAAUACACUCUAGAAAAAACCGCUUGUCAAUCCGACUUUAAAAGAAUGUGAUAUGCAUGUGUUAACAUUUUCACAUAAUACAAAAUACAAAAACAAAUAGUUGAAAAGUUGAAAUUUUCAAUUUUGAUAUCCCAACUUCGAAGGACUGUAAAUCAUUGAAUGUUAAACCAAAAAUGACAAAAUUAUAGUCUAAACUCAUGUACAAAAUGUAAAAUACAAGUUGGAAAAAACCAUAUGUCAAUCCGACUUCAAACGAAUUAGAUAUGCAUGUCUUAAAACUUUCACCGAAUACAAAAAAAUUGAAAAAUUAAAAACAUCCAGCUUUGAUAUAUCGACUUUGGGGGACUGUAAGUAAAUGAAUAUAAAACUAAAAAUGACAAAUUUAUAGUCUAAAAUCAUGUACAUACUCUAAAUUACAUGUUGAAAAAAUAUGUAUGUCAAUCGGAGUUGAAAUGAAUGAGAUAUGCAUCCUUUAAACGUUUCACAAAAAAACGGUUCCUGCCAUAAAAGUGGUUCCGCUUCCAAACAUCGGUUCCGGUUUUAGACCCGGUUUACACAGACACGAUGGACACAAACCUGAAUAAAGGCAAUUUUUAAUCCUAUAACCAGAAACAACUCUAUAUAUUCUGGUUCUAACGGUUCCAGUUCCGGUCCGGUUUUCCGGUUCUAAAUCUCAUCCCUAACUCCGGCUCCCAAGUCCACUUGGAUCCCCUCCGAUGUUGCCACUGAACAUUAACCAAGGGCACCUCCUUAUUUCUCAAAAUCUUCCCCUUCUUAUCCGAAAUAUCCACCGGCUUCUCAAUAGAGUUCAGACGAUCAUCAACCUGAAUAUCCUCUAAAAAUACCACUGUCGUGUCGUCGGCUACACGCUUCGUCAGCUUGGCUACAUGGAAAGAGUUAUGAAUCUGGCUCAGCUCUACAUGCAACUCUAACCGAUAAGCUACCUUACCUACUCGAGUAAUCACUCUGAAAUGACAAAUGUAUCUAGGGCCUAGGUUGCCCCAUUUCCUGAAUCGAAUCACCGCUUUCCAACAGCAGGAAAAAUCACCGACCUAGAACUGUAGCUCGAAACUUCUCCGAUCCGCAUACCUCUUCUGACGAAUCUGGUGAGUAUGCAAACUCUGUCUAACAUGCUGGAUCUAUUCUAUCGUCUUGAGAUCUAUCUCAGUGCUCCCCAUCACUCUUUGCCCGACCUCCCCCCCCCCCAACAGAUGGUCGUCCGACACCUCCUCCUGUAUAAAAGCUCAAAGGGAGGCAUCCUAAUACUGGAGUGAUGGUUGUUAUUGUAUGAAUACUCAACCAAGGGCAGUUAGGAGUCCCAACUCCCACCGAAAUCCAUGACACAUGCACAUAUCAUGUCCUUGAGUAUCUAAAUCGUCCGCUCGCUCGCUCUGCCUAUCUGUCUGCGGGUGGUAUACGGUGUUAAAUGUAGCUGGGUACCCAACCCCUCGUGAAAUUUCUUCUUGAACCUGGAAGUAAAACGCACAUCACGAUCUGACACUAUCGAAAUUGGCACUCCGUUCCCUGCCACUACCUCUCGAACGUAGAUAUUGACCAAUUUCUCCGUAGAAGAGUUCUCACUUAUAGCCAGAAAGUGACCACUCUUCGUAAACCGAUCCACAAUCAUGUUGGGUUAUGAGCAUUCUAACACUCCUAAGUGUACAUGCAACCCUAAAUACCUUGGAUCUAUGUUUUCUCUAUUAUACAUGCAAAUAAGAACUUCCAAGGUAUUAUCCUAAUCUAGCAUACAAAAUAAUGAAUAUAACAAGAUAGAAUACAUACCUCUUUGAUGUAGAAUGUCUUCAUGAAGCUUGAGUGCCUAGUGCCUCAAGUGUGACACCUCAAAUGGUUCACACAACACCAAAUACACUAGGAAUAAAUUGAGAGAAACUUCAACACUCCUAAAAUCGACUAGCCCUUUCUUAUUAUUCAUAGUAUCCGAUUUUUCCCAAAGAAUAUGAUCUUAUAUAGUUGUUACAAUUAGGGUAAACCCUAAUUGUUGUGGCUUUCCAUUUACUUGGAUCCAUGGGUUCAAAUACACCAUGGAGCAUCCAUGGACCAUCCUAUGGGUUUAGCCUAACUUGAUUAUCCAUGGAGCAUUAGCCCAUUAUACAAUUACGGAUGAUUUACACAAUCAACCCAUAUAUUUAAUUAGUCUUCUUUUGAUCACUUAAUUAAUUCUAGAUUAAUUCUUGAUCAAUACUAAUUAAAUAAUCCUAUCAAUAUAUUAGAACUUAUAAUAUAUUAAUCAACCUUAAGUGUUACUUGUCUCAUUGCAGUCUAUCCAAGUGCAUGAUGCCAUGUAACCCAAAUGGACCAUGUCGGGUCGAGUCAAGUCUUACCAAUUAUAGUUAUGGACUUAGACAUUAAUCCAACAGUCUCCCACUUGGAUAAGUCUAAAACUAUUAUUGCGAAUGACUUCAAGAACCGACCGACAAUCGUAGCUCUCAAAAGCUUAUGUCGAACUCUAACCUUGUCGAUGAUCUCUGACCUUUGUCGAUGACUUGUCCAUUAGAUAAGUGAUCUUUACAUUCCUCCAUUCUAGAUAUCAUAUGGACUGAGACAAGGAUUAUAAAUCAUUUUCUCUGUCCAUCUGUUGUUUCCGGAUUUCAAAUUCAUGAUGACUGAAUGAUUGAGCAAAUCAAAUCAGUCAUGGCCUGGCCAAGCACUCACAUAUAUCAUCAUUAAAUCAUCGAGGGGCCCACAGAUAUUGCUUUUAUCCUGAAGGUAAAAGGAAUGGAUAAACUUCAACUCAUAUGGCUUGUUGUACUACUUGUUGAAUCAUACACAAAGGCACGUUUUAUUACAUUGAGUUACCAAUGCAUUUUCGUGCAAUCAAUGUACAACCAACUCAUAGUAACAACUCAUAUCUCUAGGUUUGAAGAAUAUAAGAUAUUAUCGUCUCAUGAUCACUCGUGAUAAAAUCCAUGAAGUGAUUCAAAUGAGCGCGGGUUGAAUCCAAUACUCAUAACUUAUGAGCACUCAUGAGUGUUGUAGCCCUUUGUCCAACAUCUUAGACCUCUACAAGCCAACUCGUGACAGUCUUGAUUCAUAUCUAC
Molecule: long non-coding RNA, 54508 nt
Filed under: Lactuca sativa (garden lettuce)
Lineage: Eukaryota; Viridiplantae; Streptophyta; Magnoliopsida; Asterales; Asteraceae
Description: long non-coding RNA (LSAT_LNC004160)
Source: RNAcentral